This 52723-nucleotide long non-coding RNA is filed under the name Sorghum bicolor (sorghum). Its description in RNAcentral is "long non-coding RNA (SBIC_LNC006024)". Lineage: Eukaryota; Viridiplantae; Streptophyta; Magnoliopsida; Poales; Poaceae. The record is from RNAcentral.
GAAUAUUCUUCAUUCAUGGGCGAUUUCUCAACUGCCACCGGCAUAGCUACCUUUACAAUGAUGUUGUUAGGGAGAGUAAUCCUCAGAAAGUUCGGGUGGGGAGUUGCAGCUACGAUCACACCUGCAGUGUUACUUCUCACAGGAGUUGGGUUCUUCUCACUGAUUUUGUUUGGUGAGCCAUUGACUCCUCUUAUGACCAAGUUUGGGAUGACACCUUUGCUUGCGGCAGUCUAUGUUGGAGCAAUGCAGAACAUUUUCAGUAAGAGUGCAAAGUACAGUCUGUUUGAUCCUUGCAAAGAGAUGGCAUACAUUCCUUUGGAUGAGGAUAUGAAGGUGAGUCUCCAAAAAAUACCGAUCCUUGUAUAGAUUCAUAUCAAAUGCAUAUCUUGCCUUAAAUGACACUUGUAUUGGUAUGAUUGAUCCAAUGAGCAUAAUAAUAAUUUAAGUUGUAAUAUUACUUAACCUUAUGAGAGGAGUAGGUGUGAUCAGCAUACAUCAUAACUUGUAGAACACGAGAUUCCUAUUUAUAAUGAAGCCACAUUAAUUUCUUUGAUGUGAAAUAUGUUGUGCUGAUUUGUCCUUGACUCUAGUUGUACCUGUAUCUCUAAAACACUGUGAUAAGUGACUUAGGUGAAGUGAAAGGUUCAUAAUCAUCUACUAAAAGUCAUGUAAACAUACAUAAUAAGAUUUUACGCUUUUAUUGAUGAUGGCAAUUAUAUCCCCCCACCAAAAAAAAUCUAUUGUUGAGUUUUAUGAAACCUUCAUAUUCAUUUGUUGCUUUUGUUCUCAACUCUUUGUGGUCAUGAUAACAGGUUAAAGGUAAAGCAGCUAUUGACGUUGUCUGCAACCCCUUGGGGAAAUCUGGAGGUGCUUUGAUCCAGCAGUUCAUGAUCCUGUCAUUUGGAUCUCUUGCGAAUUCGACACCCUACCUUGGUGGAAUACUUCUGGUGAUUGUUCUUGCAUGGCUGGGUGCUGUAAGGUCCCUCGACUCACAGUUUUCAACCCUGGCAAAGCAAGAUCUCGAGAAAGAAAAGAUGCUGAAAGCACAGGCCGUCGAAGUCGAAACAACUGCCAAAGUAGUCGGGACUGGAAAUGGUUCUCUCCAAGAAACUCUAGCUAGUGAGCCAUCUGCAAAUGGUGCAGCUACCAAACAGUCUCGAGAACCUGAGAGUACAACCACGGAGAAAUCAGGCCAAGAACCUGAGAGUACAACCACGGAGAAAUCAGGCCAACAGUCUCAAUAAGUUUUCCCCAAGAAAUUUAGUUAGUACAAGCCUUUGGAGGAACCAAAAGUUUCUUGGGCCUUUUAUCUGGAGCUGCUGAAGAAGGCAGGAAUGAUUUGAGAAAUAAGAAGGCCUGUUCUUCUGUUGUUGUAGCAUAUUUUUUACUUCACCGUGAGUAUCUGUAGCUGUUUGUUUCAUUCCAUAGGUAUAAACUGUUUCUGUUAUUAAAAAUUUUGGGAAGUCUGCUUCAUGAUAAUCUUCAAUAGCUAGUCCUUUGUUGUGAAAAAUUAUUUUGCCUGGUUUUGAUAUUUAUGGGUACCAUGUAUUUUCAAUUUAUUCAUAUUCCUACUAAACAGUGAUGUAGUCAGGUUCCUUUCAUUACACUUAAGGUUCAUGGGCUUUCCCAGGACAAAUACCCUUUACCGCAGGCCCACAGCCUUAGGUGAGCAUAAAAGGCGGACGUUGUCUUGGUUCAGGACUCGUUUAGAUGUGUUUUUUUUUUGGAUUUCGCUACUGUAGCACUUUUGUUUUUUCGUUACAAAUAUUUUCUAAUUAUAGACUAACUAGGGUUAAAAAAAUUGUUUUGCGAUUUACAGACAAACUGUGUAAUUAGUUUUUAUUUUCGUCUAUAUUUAGUGCUUUAUGCAUGUACCGCAAGAUUUGAUUUUUUUGUUUUUUUUUUGAUAAUGGAUAUAAAAUUCGGUCUCUACAUCUGAGGAUGUACACAGCCCAUGCAAAAUUUGAUGUGACGGAGAAUCUUAAAAACUUUUUAGAUUUCGGUGAGAACUAAACAAGGCCUCAAUCAGUGAUGCAGAAUGCUCAUACUAACGGGAUGUGUUUGUGUGAUCGCUAGAGAGUGGAACUAGGUGUCGAAAAAAAGAGUGGAACUGGGAAUAUUUUUGUGUGAUCGCUGGAGAGAGAGCGCAAUGGGCGUGCACAGGCAUAACUGCUACACAAAGAACCUUACCCGAACUUGGGCCUUGUUUACUUCCAAUUUUUUUUUUUGCAAAAUAGAAAUAAUAGCACUUUCGUUUGUAUUUGACAAAUAUUGUUCAAUCAUGGCUUAACUAAGCUUAAAAAAUUCGUCUCGCAAAUUAUAGGUAAAUUAUGUAAUUAGUUAGUUCUUUUAUCUAUAUUUAGUGCUCUAUAUAUGUACCGUAAGAUUCGAUGUGAUGAAGAAUAUGAAAAAUUUUACAAAAUAUUUUGGUAACUAAACAAGGCCUUGAUAUGUGCCGAAUCCUUUGCCAGGGCUUGAGACGUCGCAAACCCUCCUGAAAGAGAGGGUGCCCUCGGGGACGCAAACACAUAGGGGCCGCCAUAAGGUGUAUAGUCCUGAGCCGAUAUCCCCUUUCGUUCUUGAAAGAAGCAUAAUGCAUGGGACAUGAUAGUGGCUGGCCGACUAGCUCCCUGGUACCGAACUACCGAUACAGCAGUGAUCUCACUUUACUGACAUGAUUGCAACAAGGUCUGAGCUGGUCACUGUAUCCUUCUAAAUCUGCAGGAGUGUUAAGCAUUCAACCCACAGUUGACAGUAGGCACCAAUCAUGGAUACAAUCAGUGGUGAAGCUAGAGCAAAUUAGAGAGGGUUACACUUAGCUUGUGGGUGCAUAUACAUGCGUUUUAGGGGAUGCAUAUAUGGUAAAAUUUUGAUUAAAUCUACUGUUUUGCAAUUUUUGAGGGGUGCAUUUACACCCCCUGCUUACAACACAGCUUCGCCCCUGGAUACAAUCAGGGAGUAAAAAUCAAUGUACUCUCUGCCCCACCCCCAUCUCGCUGUUGUUUCGUCUCAAAAUUCUGUACCAUCCAUGGAGAGGAGCCCAGGCCUGUGAAUGAACUGUCCAUCCAUGAUCCAUCCAUGAAGAGUAGGCAAGCUAUCCUGCAUUGUAUAUACGUACCAUAUAACCAUCAUCAAUAAAAAGGAAAAAGUUCUAUUGCAUGAGUCUAAAUUCGCCUCCCCCAAUCGGAAACUUGAUUUUUAGACUCCCCUAAUUCAAAUUGUUCGAUUUGCCUCUUUGAGUGAUUUUGAGUGAUGUGUAGCCACAUCAAUCGUCCUAUGUGGCACCAUGUUAGCAAUGAGGGAGCUAAAUCAGAUUUUCAAAAUAGUUAACGGAGGUCAAUUAGACUUUAUAAAAAUUAUAUAAAUAUUUUUUCUUUUAAAAAGGUAUUUUCUAGAAUAAAUAUGUAUUUAAAAAUACUAAAUAUGAUUCAAUAUUAUAAAAUUCAACAAAAUUCGUUUAGACUAAGAAAAACAUGAAACUAGUUUCAUAGUUUUCCAAAAAAUCAUGCUCUACAUUAAGAUUUGACGCGAUGUAGGACAUCUGAUGUGACGCGACAUCAGCAAAAAGCGCUUUCAAAAUCAAUGAGAGAGGUAUUUAGACAGGUUCAAGAGUUGUAGAUAUCUAUGACUUUUUUGGAAGGAGCUAUCUACAAAUUUGUUUUUUUACAUACAAAUUUGGUUUUUUGAAAGAGGCAAAUUAGACUCGCGUUUCAUGGAAAAAGUCCACUUUACCUCCCUAAACUAUCCUUGAAGUUUAGUUUUUCUUCGUAAACUCGAAAACCAAGUAAACCAACUCCCUCAACUUUUAAAACCCCCGAUUAUAAGUGUUUUUCAAAGGUGGUUUUGUCUUUUUAUUUUUUUAUUUAUUUUGAUGGAAUAUUUGAAAAAUUAUAAUAAAUCACAAAAAAAAUUAUAAAAAAAUCUAGUUUUGUUGGACUCCACAUGAGUAGAUAUACAUAGUGAACAUAUGAAAUGGUAUGAUUUAGUAUAAAGUUUUUGUUAUAGCUUUAGAUCUAUGCUUUUCUAUAAUUAUUCUAUAGCUGCAGUUUCCGUGAUCAAUUUUUAUGGUGGUCUAAUUAUCGUAUGCUUUAACUAUAGUAAAAAUUUCAUACUAAUUUAUAUUUUUACACACUUUUAACUAUUUAAAACUAUUUAAUGAGGAAAAAUCAUAAAUGCAAAAUCUAGUUUUAUCGGAUAACUUUUUUUAUAAUGGGAUAGCUAUUAUAUGAUCGAAAUGUAGUAAAUUUUUCAUGCUCAUUGGAUAAUGUGUUAUAGAAUUUUAUAGGUUUUUGCUCAUUAAAUAGUUUUAAAAGACAAAACCUUUGAAAACCACCUAUAAUUAGGUCAUGGAGGCAAAAUGAAUGGUCUCAAAAGUUGAAGGAGGUAGUUUACCCAUUUUUGAAGUUCAGAUAGGAAGAUUUUGAAGAUUAUUCAGGAGGUAAAAUAAAAUGGACUUUUUCCUUCCAUUAAAAUCUUCACCAGUUGUGCGGAAAGCCCACAGGCAAAUGUUCCAAUUGGGCCAUAUCCUUAAGUGGGCCAAGACUGAGAACAGGUUGCUCGACCUUCUGCAGUCUGCACAGCGGGGGACUCGGCCCAUCCACACUACGCCAUCGCCUCGUAAGCGAAACGGACGGCGGAGAUCGGCUGGCCGCAGAUAGCGAGGGGACACGCCGACCCGUGAUUUUUUCCAGAUCAGAUCCGACAGCUCGCCUUCCCGUCUUUCCCUCUCCCCCACACCCACCCGGGCCGGUCGUCGUCGUCGCGGCGUGAGCGAGCGAGCGAGCGAGCGGGGAAAACCCAAAACCCUAGCGCCCACCGCCCCGUCGCCCCGUCGCCGGCGGCCGCCAGAGUAGAGAGAUGGCGGUGGACGAGGUGAAUUCGGUCUACGUCGGCGGCCUUCCCUACGAGGCCAACGAGGAGAUGCUUCGCGACGCCUUCGGGUACUACGGCACCAUCGUCUCCGUCAAGGUCUGCGCCCCCCCCCCCCCCCCCCCCCCUCUACUCUCCGUUUAGUCAGCUCCCGCGUUUGCUCUGGAGAAAGUUUGACGGGCGCUGCUGGUUUGAUUCGAUUCAGUGAGGCUGUGCUGCGGCCGGUGAUUCUUUUUUUUUUUGAAAUAUGGCGGAAAAGCGGGUUGAUUUUAUUACGUGGGUUUUUUUUUUGGUGAAGUUUUUCUUGGGCAAAAGGUUCUUCUCCUUUUUUAGGAUCUUAGUGAGGAUCUCGGGAGUGUUUGUCUUUAAAAAACAACAAACAACAUGAGAACACGAACGAAAGAUGGGAGGUGGUGUCCGCCCAUGGCCAGUUUCUGAUGGCUAAACUAUUUUAAAGCCAAGAUGAAUUGGCAGGUAGAAUUGUUCUGAGUUGAGCUCAGAUUUUUAGCUCAUCUGGUUGCUGUAUUUGCAUGGUAGAUGUUUGGUUUUCUUUUGGAUGCCGAGGGCAUUAUGGUUUAUAUGUCUCGAACAUCUUACUUUUCUUCAACUGAGAGGAGUGUGAAGAUGACGGCAUCAUCAUUUGCAAAUGUGAUAUGUGGAACAUAUAGCAGUCAAUGCUUCCUAGUGCUGUAACCCACUGUUUUGAGUCUGAGAGAUUUGUUUCCUGAUUAAUCUGUGCAUUCUAGGUGAUUAAUGAUCAUUCUGUCAAAGGCAAGUGUUAUGGUUUUGUUACUUUCACUCACCCCAGAGCUGCUGAGCAAGCAAUUGCAGGCAUGGAUGGCAAGGUAUGCAGUGUGCUUUUUUUUUUGUGAACUUGGCACCUUUUCUUUAUCUUGUGUUUAACACGUCUUUUUACAGAAAUUAGGCAAUCGUAUUGUUCGAGUAAAUGAAGUGCGUACAAGAGGUCCCCGAGAUUUUGGUCGAGAUGGUUUCAGACGAGAUCCAAGAAGGUAUGGUAGAGAUCCAUACUGGGACAGAAGGGAUAGGGAACGGAGCUAUGAUCGUGAAAGGGAUCCCUACCAUGACAGGGAUAGUGAUAGAUCCCGUGAGCAUGAUAGAGAAAGAGAUUAUGAGCAUGGUGGCUUUAAUCGAGAAAUUGACUAUCCCAUGGAUCGAGAUCAUGAAGUAGACGAGAGACGUCCUAGAGAACAUGAUCGUGCAGCUGAAAUGCAUAAUAUGGAUUCAGAUAAUGACAAAGAUAGGGAGCAUGGAACAAGAAAAAGGUUCAGGUGACAUGUUGAUUUUGUUUUUCAUAGUGGAGUUAUGUUGAUAUUGCUAACCAUGGUAGCUAUUUUUAAUAUUUGAAUGAAAACGACUUGUGUUUGAUAUAUUGAUAUGUAUAUUUUAGGUAUUUGUGGAGUGCUUAAUUGAUGUUCUUGGGCCAUUUGAAAUUAGUUUUCUAGAGCAUCUCUUAGUCCUUAACUUGGGAGUGGCAUUUCAAGAUCUUGGAACGUACUAGGGAAAUUUGAUUAUAGACAUGUUGUAUUAUACUCCCUCCAUUCCAAAUCGUAAGACAUGUACAUCUAAGUGCAUAGUAAAAGCAAUGUAUCUAGAAAAGCCAAAACAUCUUACAAUUUGGAACGGAGGGAGUAGAUAUAUAAGAAAAGGGCCAUAUUCACCUUAGAGAAGUUUGAACAGCAAUUUUUUGUGAUAUUUAUAUGUUUCCCUGCAUUACUCUCUCUAUCCACUCAAUUAUUUUUAAAGUUAAUAUAGUGAAUACUAGCUGAACAAUUAGAAUGAUGAGCAGGUUUGAUGGUUUGUUUGCCCUAAUGUGUAAAAAUUAUUUUAUGCUGACUAGUGACCUUGCACGCAUAAACUAUACUGGGUACAUUAUUUUUUUUUAUAAGGAACUGGGUACAUUAUUGGAGACCAUGUUUGGUUACCCUUACUGUGAAAUUUACACCAUUGUUUUGUUUUGUGUUAAGUCCAGAUUUUAAUGUACUGACUACUGUCUAUUUAUAAAGAAAGGUUGUACCACUACGGGAAAUAUUUCAUGGAUUCAUGGAUCAACUAUAAUCCUUAGAAAAAAACAAGGCAUUUACUUUCCUAAUGUUCUCUAUGCAGCCGCCCGAAAGGUCGUGAUAGCAGAGAUUUAUCGAGUUCCAGUGAUGAUCUUCAAAAUGAUGUAAGUGCAUCUUCAAAAAAACCUAGGCAUUUACAUUCCUGACUCUUUAUAUCAACUCUUUUUUGUUUUCGUAAAAUUUUCAUUUCUCUCUUUUUUGUAUAUCAGGGAAAGCACCAGUUGGAUAAAACUAUUCAGAUGCGUGAGGACCUUGAAAAUGAGGCAUGCCAUUUCCUUAAAGACCUUGUUCUGUAUUAGUUUGAUCUGGAAACCAUAAAAUCAGCUCACACUAUCUCAGAGUUGGUCUAAAAUCAUGAUGGAUUUAUUUCUUUGCCAGACUCCAUUUAAAUUAACUUGCCUAUAGUGCUUUCGGAAUAUAAAGAUGAAAACAUGUUAAAUGCAAAUGUGAAAGUAAGCAAAGUUCUCCAGGCUUAAUGGAUGUAGAUUUAUGGAUAUUGGUGACCUGCAGAAUUGGAUCAUGAACUCAAUUGCAUUUGCGAGGUACAUAAAAGGAUAAAUGCCUAUUGAAUUUGUAGUCCCAUUUAGGAUUUAUCUUUUGCUUGACUUGUACAGAAAUUUUCAUAUUUAGCUCAGUUUUAUUUUGUACACUGACAUGCUUGGAUACCUCAGAUGACAGUCAUGCAUUGAUCACUGAAUGCACAGGCCUUGUUUACUUUGAAAAGCUUCACAAUUAGUUGUCUAUUGGAUUACAAUAUAUAGUAUUAUCUUUUCAGCUGAAGUUAUAUAGUACACAGGACGCACGAUCCAUGAACCAUGAUAGACUGAUAGUAUACUCAGCUACUUUUUAGAAUUUAGAUAAUAGGCAUGAGUACUUCUGUUCAUGAUUUAACUGUUUCUUGCAUUUUAUAUUAUGAACUUUGCAGGUUAACCAGAUUAAGGAUAAAAUAUCUGGAAAAGAACAGCACAUUGCAGAUUUGCAGAAGAAAGCUCAGGUGCUCUGUCAUGAUUUUCAAAGGAUUCUGCUGUCAUCAUUUGCCCCAUUCAUAUAUGAGAUAGCCACUGUUUGGCCAUCUCUUAGAUCUCAUUUGGGUUGAGUUCUGAUGAUAAGUCAUAAAAAAAAACAUUUUUCGUGUCAAACUGCAGAAAUUAGAGGAUGAACUGGAUGCCGCGCGGAAAGUCUCUUCAGAACGACAAUUAGCUGUUACAGACGUAUGUGCUCUUCACUUGUUGGCUGCUUAUUUAUCCAAGAUGCAAUUGGUAGUCCUGCAAUGGCUUUUCUGAUGAAAACAUUAUGUAUGCAGCUGUACAAACAUUUUCUUCAACUUCAAGACUACAACGAUAGGGUCAAAACGGCUGAACAGAGGCUGCAGGUAUUUUCUCAUCAUUUGUUUCUUUCAUAACUCUUGAGUUCCGUGGUCAACAAUUAUCCUGUUGUUUAGGUUUGCUUGUGUUGGCAAGUUGAGGAAGGUGUGCUGACUCUUUCUGUUUUGAUUCUACUAGUCUCUUGUUGAUGCUGCCAUGGUCGAGCUUGACAUAGCCGAAGAUGCUACUACCAGAGAUGGCUCAAUGUAUGAGAAUGGGGUGGUCUGAACACCCAAAAGGGCUGCCAGCUGUCAUGGGUUGUGAGGCUACUAAUUUGUUAGACUUGUAGUUUGGAUUUGCCAUGUAAUGAGAACUGUACUGUAACUAGAAACAGAAAAUGUUAUGUAAGGGGCCAGAAAAUGAGUGGCUGCACAUUUUUCUAUUUCUUUCCAAGUUGAAUUUAUUAGCCGUCCUGACUAUUGCUAUACGGUGUGAUGUGACCGUGAUAUGUCAGCUGUUCUGUUGAGCAAGGUUGUGUUCAUAUUUGCCUGUGUUGAUGCCUGAGCUUGACACCGUCAUCUGGUAAUAGUUGCCUAAAGUUUGUUGCCGAGCCUGACGAGAGUAGCAGCAAAUUGCAGUCAAAAGAGUACACAACCUUUUGUUUUGCUGGAAGUAAGUUUCGUUUUGCUAAAAAGGCUUAAGGUAAGGUACUGCGACUAAGGAUGAAAACGGGUUUCGUUUUGCUAAAAAGGCUUAAGGUAAGGUACUGUGACUAAGGAUGAAAACGGUCGGAAACGUCGAAAAACUCCUAAAUUAUUUUCUACUUUUACAUUUGAAAUACAAAAACGAAAACGGUAAAGUCGGACACGAAAACGAACACGAACUUACGAAAUAUCAAGAAUUGCAAAAACGAACCAAUUCGAUCGGAUUUAUGUCGAACACGGUCGAUAUACGAAAACUCAAUACGAAAACCGAUAUAUAGUACCAAGUGCAUGACUAAAAGUAUAUAUAGGAUCAAGUUCAAGUGCAUAUAAUAAUUAAAAAGUGCAUGCUUCUUAGUCUUAGGUGUUUAAUACAAUAGGCCACACAUAAAUACAAGUCUAGAAUAAACAAUUAAUAGCUAACAUGAACACAACUAGCCACUAGUAGAAAGAACGCAGAUGCAUGGUGAGUAGUUUGUAAUUGGGCUGUGUGACUCUACAGUUGACUAAAUUCGGUUUAAACCAAAUUUUGAAUUCGAAAUAUUUCAUAUUAAAAGUAGAAAAGUAGAAAACGGUCGAAAAAUGUCAAAACCGUUUUCUACUUUUAUAUUUGAAAUACGAAACAUCUAAAAUACGAAAGCGAAAACGAUAAAGUCGGAUAAAAAAAUACGAAUUCGAUCGGAUCAAAUAUAGAAAGUGGUUCGGUUCGAUUCGAGAUAUUCCGUUUUCAUCGACUAAGCGCUCGCCGCUAGGCCACUUGUAUCCCGGCCAGCCGCCGCAACUCAGCAAGGCCACCGUCACGCGGGGCUCACCGGCCGAGCGAGUUGGGUCACCGGCCUCGGGCCGUCAAAUACGGCCACGUCACGGUCAUCAGCAUCCGCACGAGGACCCCCUUCCGCUCUAGUAUCUCUGACUCUAAGUACUUAUUGUCGUCUAAUAUACAUAGCAUAAAUUUAACUCAAUGUAUAAAAAAUAUGUAAUAUUUAUAUCUCUAAAUAAGUUUAUUAAUUUAAAUAUCUUUCCAAGCUGCUCUGAGCUGUAUCCAACUGCUGAGACCUCAGGGAGAAAGAGAAAGAGAGAGAGGCCUUGUUUAGUUGAGAAGGCGAAAAGUUUUUAGAUAUUGUAGCACUUUCGUUUUUGUUUGUCCAUCAUUAUUCAAUCAUGGAUUAACUAGACUUAAAAAUUCAUCUCACAAAUUACAGAUAAAUUGUAUAAUUAGUUAUUUUUUUAUCUAUAUAUUAUAUUCUAUAUAUGUAUAACAAGAUUUGAUAUAACGAGAAAUUUUAAGAAGUUUUUAGGUUCUAGGGUAAACUAAACAAUGCCAGAGGAGAGGUCGAGAGGAGACUCCAAAGUCUACUAGAAACAGAGCAGAGCAGGCCAUCUCUGACUUGUAGCUGCCGACUGCCAAAUUGUUUGGUUUUUCUACGGGCGCCGUCGCCGUCGACGUCAACGGCCAACGGCGCAGGCCCAUCUUGACCGCUUCUCACUCAGAACCCCCUCCUGACGCAUUGCGCCACUCACUGUUGUGGCGUGGUCUGUGCUGUCUUGACUUAAUUGACCCGCGAGGGAAGGAUAACUAUUAAUUAAGGCCUUGUACUGAUUUUUUAACACCUAUCACAUCAAAUAUUUAGACAUAUACAUCAAGUAUUAAAUACGAACUAUCUACAAAAUUAAAAAUAUAAAAUAAUUUACGAGACUAUCUUUCGAACCUAAUUAGUUCAUGAUUGAAUAUUAAUUGCUAAAUAAAAUAAAAAUAUUAUAAUACCUGCUAAACUUUAGCACCUUCAACCAAACACGCUCUGAUUAACACGGGUGGCUAACGUUGGUUACUCUACCCACUUAUCCUGGACGUGACGGCAAUUGGGAAAGGCGACGAUUUUUAUUUAUUUUUGGUGUGCAAGACAACUGUUCGUCCCGACCGGUGAAGGAAGCAAUGAACGAAUGCACGGCAAGUACGCCCGGUCGUCCAGGACACGAGAGACCUCAUCAGAUCAGCGACAGCGAACUGUUCGGGCCCGGUCAAGCCGCGCACAGCGGAGCCCGUUCAAACUUUCAAACGGUCAAACUAUUUACGCUGCACUCGCCAAUACGAAAGCAGUAGGAAACUGCUAAUAGAUUCUAACGGCCGAAUUUCCCGCGAAUCAAGUGAGCGACGUGCCCGCCACCUAAGGAAAGAGAAUAAUCAACAAACUGCUUAAGAGCCUUAAGCUACAAGAUCAAAAGAAUCCCCUGGCGCUGCUUGCCUAGGCAGCUACACUCAGCUCGGCCUGUUUGGAACAAAGAAAUAAAAAAAAAUACAGAGACCGAAGAAAAUAGAAGAAUAGCAAAAAGAAUGAAAAUGUAAAAACAGAUAAUUUUAUAGAAACAGGUGUUUGAAACAGAUGAACAUUUAACUGCUAUAGGAAUUUUAGAGUUAGCUGGAAACUCAAUGCUUUAAAUUAAAAUUAACAGUAAAUACUUUUCCUUUUUAGAAAUCUGGUAUGUAUAUAUCAAAUAAAGCAUGGAAGAGGGGCCCCCACAAGUACAUUGAAAAAAUAAAUUAUAGGAACUGCAUGUCCUCUGUUUUUCCUACGUUCUUCCUGCCAAACAGGGUAAAAUAAGAGCCCUGCCAAAUGUCCACGGUGGCAAAUAAUAAUGCAGAGGCGUUGAACACUUACGCACUAAUUCACCUUCCUCUCGACGAGCAUUAGCGCGCGCAGGUAUUUAUACCACAUCGCCACUUCCUCGUUCCUCAGACACUAACACCUCUCUCUCCCUUCCUCUUCCUCUUCCUCUUCAUCGUCUUCUUCACGGAGAUCGGCAAGCUACAAGAGUACUCCAGCUACAGUAGAAAGACAAAGAACAGAGUCAAGCACUCAAGCUCGAGCAGGGAGAAGAACUGGAGAAGUGAACGGGAAAGACAAAGAACGGAGGGGGUUUGACAUCAGUCGAGGAUGGAUUUAGUGCGGAUGGGGAGCAUCGCCAGCGGGAGCAUGCGGCGGACGGCGUCGUCGUGGCGGGGGUCCGGGCGGAGCGACGCCUUCGGCCGGUCCGUGCGGGAGGAGGACGACGAGGAGGCGCUGCGAUGGGCGGCCAUCGAGAAGCUGCCCACCUACGACCGCAUGCGCAAGGGCAUCCUCACGGGCGCCGGCGCCGGCGGCGGUAUCGAGGAGGUGGACAUCCAGGGGCUCGGCAUGCAGGAGCGCCAGAACCUCAUCGAGCGCCUCGUGCGCACCGCCGAGGAGGACAACGAGCGCUUCCUGCUCAAGCUCCGCGACCGCAUGGAGCGGUGAGCACUCGCCCACUACUCUUGCUUUGCUUCAGUUGUCCUUGGACUGGAAACAAAAAAAAAUUCAGAUUUCAGAUGGACUUCACUUGGGAAAUGAUCUGCACAAGCAUCAGGAAUCAUUUCAUUGUGCAGCAAAUCAUGGAGAAGCAUCUCGUGCUAUGUAUUCAGUAACUUAUUCAUGACUUCUUCUUUUUUGUUUUUUCAGAGUUGGGAUCGACAAUCCGACGAUAGAAGUGCGGUUUGAGAACCUGAACAUCGACGCCGAGGCCUACGUCGGCAACCGAGGUGUCCCGACGAUGACCAACUUCUUCUCCAACAAAGUCAUGGUAUGCAUCUCAUCUGCAGAAAGGCACCUUGAUGCUUCCUACUUCCUAGCCAUGGAAAAAGAAAAAACUUGUCAAGUUCCUUCAGCUACUAAUUCUUGUGAGAUGUUCUUCUCACAGGAUGCACUAAGCGCUAUGCACAUCGUUUCGAGUGGGAAGAGACCUAUCUCUAUCCUUCACGAUAUCAGUGGAAUCAUAAGACCGGGCAGAAUGUCUUUGCUGCUUGGCCCUCCUGGCUCCGGGAAAACAAGUCUGCUUCUGGCUUUGGCAGGAAAACUUGACUCAGCUCUGAAGGUACCACACCUUGCAAUACUUUCUUGAUUGUCAACCUCUUUUUCUUAAAAGAGAUUGAUUGUCGACUUCUAAAUCCUAGGCCAAGAAAAAGUAUGUAUUUGGGAGAAAGAUAGCUGUAAUUUGUACAAAAAUGAAUGAACUUGCAAUGAAAUUUUCAGGUGUCAGGAAGAGUAACCUACAAUGGUCAUGACAUGGAUGAAUUUGUCCCUCAGAGGACAUCGGCAUACAUCGGGCAGCAUGAUGUUCACGUCGGCGAAAUGACAGUUCGGGAAACACUUGCCUUCUCUGCAAGAUGUCAAGGAGUUGGAACACGUUAUGGUACAUAACAUUGACAUUGAAAAGGAACAAACAAAAUUAUUCACCUUUGGUAAAGAGAACCUGAUGGUGUUUUCAAUUACAGACAUGCUUACUGAACUUUCAAGAAGGGAGAAAGAAGCCAACAUUAAGCCAGAUCCUGAUAUCGAUGUUUACAUGAAGGUAAAGUUCAUUUAAUUCAAAUCAAACCCUGUAUUUACGUUGGAAGUAACAAAGGUUACUCAACGUUAUUGUGUGCCUCUAUGCAAACAGGCUAUCUCCGUGGAAGGACAGGAGAGUGUGGUCACAGAUUACAUCCUCAAGGUCAGUAAAAAUAUACUGCACAAAAAUAGAAAAUAGGAGAAAUGGGUAUGCCCCUAACAGUACCUGUACUUCUUUUGCAGAUUCUGGGUCUGGAGAUCUGUGCAGAUACAAUGGUUGGAGACUCUAUGAUCAGAGGUAUCUCAGGAGGACAAAAGAAGCGUGUUACAACCGGUAUGUGCAAUAUGCAGUUAAAUUAAAACUUGUGCAUCAAGCCCUUCGGCCCUGAUCGAAAAAUCUGACUCAAUGUCUUGUUGAAUUUUCACAGGUGAGAUGCUUGUUGGUCCAGCUAAGGCGCUAUUCAUGGAUGAAAUCUCCACCGGUCUGGACAGCUCCACAACAUAUCAGAUCGUCAACUCUCUAAGGCAGUCGGUCCACAUCCUUGGUGGAACUGCACUUAUUGCAUUGCUUCAGCCUGCGCCUGAAACAUACGAGCUCUUCGAUGACAUUGUCCUCCUCUCUGAGGGCCAAAUUGUAUACCAGGGUCCUCGGGAGAAUGUCCUUGAAUUCUUUGAGGCCAUGGGCUUCAAAUGUCCUGAGAGAAAAGGUGUUGCAGACUUCUUGCAAGAAGUGAGUGAUCCUGAAGAAUCCUAUUUACUGCACGUUCAAACUUGGAGCCCAAUUUGACAUUGCUCUCUGUGAUCACAGGUUACAUCUAGGAAGGAUCAGCACCAGUACUGGUGCAGAAGAGACGAGCGAUACAGAUACAUCUCAGUUAAUGACUUUUCAGAGGCAUUCAAAGCAUUCCACGUUGGGCGUAAGCUGGGAUCAGAGCUCAUGGAGCCCUUCGAUCGCACCAGGAACCAUCCUGCAGCUCUCACAACGUCAAAGUAUGGUAUCAGCAAGAUGGAGCUUCUCAGAGCAUGCUUCUCUAGGGAGUGGCUACUGAUGAAGAGGAACUCAUUUGUUUAUAUCUUCAAAGUAGUCCAGGUAUUCAUCCUGCUUCCAGAAAUCUUCUCAACUUCCAAAUUCAGAUAGUAAAUUCUGAUGAAUGUUCCAUAUUUGCACCAGCUCAUAAUUCUUGGAACCAUUGCAAUGACGGUCUUCCUGCGCACGACAAUGCAUCGACGUAGUGUCGAAGAUGGUGUGAUAUUUCUGGGCGCCAUGUUCCUUGGACUAGUCACACAUUUGUUCAAUGGUUUUGCUGAACUCGCCAUGAGUAUUGCAAAGCUGCCGAUAUUCUAUAAGCAGAGGGACCUCCUCUUCUAUCCAUCAUGGGCAUAUGCACUGCCUACAUGGUUGCUAAAGAUACCAAUAUCAUUCUUGGAAUGCGCUGUGUGGAUUGGCAUGACUUACUAUGUCAUUGGCUUUGAUCCAAACAUCGAAAGGUUCUUUCGCCAUUACCUGCUGCUCGUACUAAUCAGCCAGAUGGCAUCUGGACUUUUCCGGCUUCUUGCUGCACUAGGAAGAGAAAUGGUUGUCGCAGACACAUUUGGGUCAUUCGCGCAGCUUGUUCUUCUGAUUCUUGGUGGCUUCUUGAUAGCAAGAGGUAAGACAAGUCUUCAUUCACCCAUUGCUUUGAUAGUUCCAGGAGCAUGUAAUUGAGUUUUCUUCUUCAGAUAACAUCAAGAAAUAUUGGAUCUGGGGCUAUUGGUCCUCCCCUCUGAUGUAUGCCCAGAAUGCCAUAGCAGUGAAUGAGUUCCUUGGCCAUAGCUGGCAGAAGGUAAUGUAGUGACUUCUGAACCAAUCUAAGAUAUGAUCACUCUAAAGAUCAGAGAGACAGCUGAGUUAACAAACAAUGUCAAUCUCUGUGCAGGUUGUCGAUAGCACACAAAGCAACGACACACUCGGUGUUGAAAUCCUAAAGGCCCGCGGCAUCUUUGUCGAUCCAAACUGGUAUUGGAUUGGUGUUGGUGCAUUGCUUGGGUAUAUCAUGCUCUUCAACGUACUCUUCGUUCUGUUCCUUGACUGGCUUGGCCGUGAGUACCCUCUUUUCUCAAAAGGAUCAGUCCACACACUUGAAAACAUCGCAUUUGGGACUAACAUAAUUCUUGUAAACACAGCACUUGGACAAGGUCAGGCCGUUGUUUCUGAAGAGGAGCUGCGGGAGAAGCAUGUAAACCGUACUGGUGAAAAUGUUGAGUUGCUGCCUCUUGGAACAGCUUCCCAGAAUUCGCCUUCAGAUGGUCAGUCAUAAGCAGAUCUCCAUGCAACAUAAAUCAGAUAAUACAUGUCAUUGUUCCAUCAUUGUAACAAGUCCAUAAAAAAUGCAGGAAGAGGAGAAAUUGCUGGAGCUGAAACCAGGAAGAGAGGAAUGGUACUUCCAUUUAUGCCGUUGUCCAUCACCUUUGACAAUGUCAAAUACUCGGUGGACAUGCCUCAGGUAAGCAUAAAUUAGAAGAUCUGUCUUAUCACAAAAACACAAACUGAUAAUACUAAAUAGUAAUUAAUAAUUGUAUGACUCUUUGAUAGGAAAUGAAAGACAAAGGUAUUACUGAAGACCGUCUACUGCUGCUGAAGGGUGUAAGUGGAGCCUUCAGACCAGGAGUCCUUACAGCACUGAUGGGAGUCAGUGGAGCGGGUAAGACUACCCUGAUGGAUGUGUUGGCGGGAAGGAAAACUGGUGGUUACAUUGAAGGAGAUAUUUCAAUCUCUGGAUACCCAAAGAAACAAGAGACCUUUGCUCGGAUUGCUGGCUACUGUGAGCAAAAUGAUAUCCAUUCUCCACAUGUCACUGUUUAUGAAUCCCUCCUGUACUCCGCAUGGCUCCGGUUGCCCCAUGAAGUGGAUUCAGAAGCAAGAAAGGUAGGUCAAAAUUGUCUUCAUUCUGCUCGCUCUUAAGCAACACAGUAACAUUUAGCAACCGAUAGUGCUUGGCUAAUCAGAUCACUUCAUGGGUGCAGAUGUUUGUGGAAGAAGUCAUGGAACUCGUGGAAUUGACACCACUGAGGGGAGCAUUGGUAGGACUGCCAGGAGUAAAUGGUUUAUCCACAGAACAGAGGAAGAGACUCACCAUUGCUGUUGAGCUCGUGGCCAACCCAUCCAUCAUAUUCAUGGAUGAACCAACUUCAGGACUAGAUGCAAGGGCAGCUGCAAUCGUGAUGAGGACAGUCCGAAAUACGGUGGAUACUGGAAGGACGGUUGCCUGCACAAUCCACCAGCCUAGCAUUGAUAUCUUUGAAGCUUUCGAUGAGGUAAGUGGCAACAACCAUAAAACAAGGUUCUUCCAAUGGUAUUUAUUUAACUCUGGAAGUAACACCCAUAUGUCUUCUUGUACUCUGCAGCUAUUUCUGAUGAAACGGGGAGGGGAAGAAAUAUAUGUUGGACCUUUGGGACGCAACUCAUGCCAUCUGAUUGACUACUUUGAGGUGAGCUUCAGCACUCACCUAUUGAACAAACACAUUCAACUUCCAACUUAUGGCAGCCACAUAACAUUGCUUCGUGCUUCAAAUGCAGGGAAUAGAAGGAGUAAAGAAAAUCAAGGAUGGUUACAACCCUGCAACAUGGAUGUUGGAAGUGACCACCUUAGCUCAAGAAGAUAUCCUUGGAAUCAACUUUGCUGAAGUAUACAGAAACUCUGACCUGUACCGGUAUGUUCAAUCAGAUUAACCUCAUAAUGGUGUUUAGGCUUUAUCUGUGCUGUGUUUCAUGUCACUGAUUGGAAUGCAUCAUUGCAGGAGGAACAAAGCUUUGAUUAGUGAACUAAGCACACCACCACCAGGGUCCAAGGACUUGUACUUCCCAACCCAGUAUUCACAGUCCUUCCUUACACAAUGCAUGGCUUGCCUGUGGAAGCAGCACAUGUCUUACUGGAGAAAUCCAUCAUAUACCGCGACUAGAAUCUUCUUCACAACAGUUAUUGCUCUCAUCUUCGGAACCAUCUUCUUAAACUUAGGAAAGAAAAUGUAAGUACCUUUGCUUACAGCACUGACUGAGACCCGAUAUAUGUUGGCAUAUUGUGACAAAGAAACUUACCUGUACUUUGUCUUUUAUUUCAGUGGCACCAGGCAGGACCUGUUGUAUGCUUUGGGAUCCAUGUAUGCAGCAGUUCUUUUCAUUGGAAUUCAGAAUGGUCAAACUGUGCAGCCAAUUGUGGACGUUGAGCGAACAGUUUUCUACCGAGAAAAGGCAGCUGGCAUGUACUCUGCUCUACCCUAUGCUUUUGCACAGGUAAUUGGUUGUAACUGAACAUUUGGAUAAUAGGAAAUAAUUUGCUCUUUUCUUCCUUCAACCUAGAGCUGAGUUCUAACAAUUUUUACCUUUGAAUAGGUCCUUAUUGAGAUCCCACACAUCUUCCUUCAGACAGUCGUGUAUGGUCUCAUUGUCUACAGCCUGAUUGGCUUUGAAUGGACAGCUGAGAAGUUCUUCUGGUAUAUGUUCUUCAUGUUCUUCACCUUCAUGUACUUCACGUUCUAUGGGAUGAUGGCAGUCGCCAUGACACCAAACAGUGACAUUGCCGCUAUAGUCUCAACUGCAUUCUACGCAAUAUGGAACAUCUUUGCCGGCUUCCUUAUCCCCCGCCCGGUAAGUGUCCAAGAGUAACUCUUGUACUAUGCUACACCUCAAUUUUCUCUGUACUGUUGAUGCUGAAGCAUACAUGGCUGGCUUGCAGAGGAUACCAAUAUGGUGGAGAUGGUACUCGUGGGCUUGCCCAGUGGCUUGGACACUAUAUGGACUUGUUGCCUCACAAUUUGGAGACAUCACAGACGUCAGGCUGGAAGAUGAUGAAAUAGUGAAAGAUUUCGUCAACAGAUUCUUUGGAUUCCAGCAUGACAACUUGGGUUAUGUAGCUACUGCUGUUGUUGGAUUCACUGUUCUCUUUGCUUUCGUCUUUGCCUUCUCCAUCAAAGUCUUCAACUUCCAGAGAAGAUAAGAGAGGGUGCCAUCUAAAAAAAAUUUGUUGUUGCUUCAGCUAACUUUCAGUAUAUAGGCACUGCAGCAAUGUAAAAUGAUGACCCGUGAGAGAGUAUAUAUGUAGGCUUUGUUUCUUUCUAGGAAGUUAACAUCAUUUUUUGUUUUCCGACCAGUUUGGCCUGUACUGAACAGAAAGGGGCCUCUGUGUAAAAUUGUAUGUAGACUGUGCACAAUUGAGUUCAAUACUUCAAUGUAAGAUCUCCCAUUAAAUUUAUACCUUUUGUCCAACUGAGACUUGCCUCAAGAUUUAGUCCAUUGCAGAAUGAGAAUAGCCUGAGUGAAAAAAAAAAAGCUUGUUCGCUUGAGCUUAUCAGCCAUUCAGCAGUGUUUUUCUCUCGCAACAAAUCAGCCAAAAGUACUUUCGGUUCACAGAGAUACUUGAGGAAGUCCAUAAAUAUUAGGAACACAAAUAAACUGAACAUUCAGAAAUUAGAAGCAGCAUCCCUCUCACUGCUGACGGACAGCAACUCUACCACUAAGUGGCUAGGGAUCCUAAAUUGCGCGUAAUCCGAACCCAAUUCAUAUCCCGAAUGAAGAAGAUCAUCAAAUGACUUGUCGUAAUUCCUAUGCAGAACCCAGAAAGGUGCCCCGACCAGCAAAAGAGCCGAGGAAAGGCAGGUGCGAGUAGGAGUAAAUCCCAAAUCAACCUCUUUCCCAUCGGCAGGCUUGGUAAAGGUGAGUAAUGGAUCACAUUUUGCGGCGCAAAACUGCUCAAUGGAAUGAUAAAUCGCGAGACUAUCACCUGCAGCCGUAGCUCCCAUUGCUCGCGCCAGCCGCCGCAGGCCGCAGGCCGCAGCCCAUGCCAUACGCCAAGCACAUGCAGGACAAAGACGGAACCGCAGGCUGGGUACGGAACAAGCCACCGUGGAGGCUCGUUACGCCGACGGCCGGAAUGGUCCGCCACCGAUGCGGGGGUUUGCGCGACUCUGGCGGGCGCGUGGGGUUUGGGUGGGUGAAAUUUCGCUGAACCUGAAACAGAUACCGAUUUAAUGGUAACUGAACUUUUUAUCAGCUAUUCCAAGAAGACUUUGGCGUUUUGUCAUUAACCGAUUUUCUUGUGUUAUAUAUUAAAUAAUUAUGUCCAUUUGCACAUUCAAACAUUUUUUAUAGUGACUUUAUUUGUUAAAAGUAUUAUUUGUUGUUUUUCCUUUUUGUUUUAUUACAAGGAUGUAUUUCUGGUUAGUUAUUCCGUCAUUAUCCUCUUAUAAUAGUGUUAACUUUUGUACAAAAGAAAAAAUAUACAAAUGUGAUUUUGCUCCCUUUUCAAUGUUACUAGCAAAACAUGCCCGUGCGUUGCAACGGGGAAAAAAUAUCGAAUGUUAAUAACAAACAACGAUAGAAAUAAGACAUCUAUUUAUGUGGGAGCCGGGGAAGAACAUCAUUGUUACUAUAGGUAAAUAGAUACUUCAUCUGUCCCAAAAUAAGUGAUACUUUUAACUUUGAGGCAUCUUAUUUGACCGUUCAUCUUAUUCAAAAUUUGAUAUAAAUAUUAUCUAUUUUGUUGUGACCUUUUAUUAUUAGAUAUACUUUAAUAAUAAUUUAUUUAUUUAUCAUUUAUAAAAAAAUAUGAAUAAGACAAAUAAUCAAACAAUUUGUCUAGAAGUCAAAAACAUGAUGUAUUUUAGGACGUAGGGGGUAUAAGAUUGUACUUUACUACGUUUAUUGUCAUUUAAUUAAGUAUCAAUCUAAUUUUUUUUCUCUAGAGGACCAUCAUCAUUCAAUUAGAACUUAGAAGACUACUUAUAUUUUCUCUAAACGUUAGUGAUUUUAUGCCAAGGAGAUUAGAAGCAAUUUUCAAAGAUAUUUUUAUACUUUUGCUUCAAUUUUUUUUGUUUUCUAUAACCUUUCAUGGGCACACCAUAUUUGAGUUAGACAACACGUUAUCUCAUAUGGAUUCCAUGCUACUAAAUAACUUAUCAUUUGUGCUUAUGGAUAAAUAACAUAUAUUAUUCACGAUAGCUUAUCAUUUAAUCUCACUAAUGUGAUAAAGUCAAUAUCUCAGAAUAAAAUUUUUUUUCCACAGUAACCUUUUACCCAAAGAAAAAUCUAGGCAUGGGUGGGACCCACUACCAGACAAUUUCUAGGCAUGGGAGAUGGGGAGAUGUAUCUAGCUCCACUACCGGACAAUUUGCGUCUCCACGCGACCACGCCUUCCAUCUCCACACCGCCCAUCCAAUUCUUAUCUCGGUGCUCCGUAGCUAUGCGGCUCGCGAGGGCACAACCCAUGCGGCAGGCGAGCAUGAGGCUGUGUUCCGGGCGGCGGCAGGCGAGAGCACGUCCUGGGCGCGGCAGGCGAGCGCGAGGCCGUGAACCGGGCGGCGGCAAGCGAGCGCGCAUCUCGGACAGCAGUAGGCAAGCGCGAGGCCGUGUCCCGGUCGGCAGCAGGCGAGGGCUCGUCCCCUAUCUUCGAGACCCAGGAUACCUCUGGGGCAGCGGAUCUUUUUUCUCUUAAGCUACCGCCGAUUCCGAGCCGGAUGGAUUUAGGUGGCGGCAGAAAAAAGUGGGCAGACUGAAAUUCUGCCUCUUUAUAUAUAGGUAUAGAUUUGUGAUUUUACCUAUAAUUUGGAAUAAGAUAUUUAUAUUGUAUUUUGACAAUAAAUGGUUAAGGGUCAAAUAUAUUUGGCACAAUUUGUAAUUAUUUCAAAUCAAAUUUAAUAUUGAAAAAAAAACAGAUAUAUGUGGUCAUGUUAGUAUAGGAAAAAGUCUAUAUCACCCCCUAAACUAUAGGGUGGUGUCUACUUUACCCCCGAACUAUGAAACUGUCUAAUUUAUCCUCUGAACUAUUCUUUUUUCUAUUUGUUUUCGCUGAAUCUUUGAAAAAACAUAGUAAAUCAUAAAAAAAUCAUAAAAUAGAAAAUCUAAUUUUAUUGGACUCCACAUGAGUAGAUCUACACAAUGAAUAUAUAAUAUGGCAUAGUUUAGUACAAAUUUCGUACUCAUUUGAUCAUAUGUUACUUAGUUAUAGAUUUAUUCAGGUUUAUGCUUGUUAAAUAUAAAUAAAUCUAUAACUAAUUUAUACAUGAUCCGAUAAGUAUGAAAUAUUUACUGUAGUUCAAGCAUAGAAUAAUUAGUCCACCAUAAAAAUUUCACCAGAAUUGGACCAUAGAAGCUGCAGCUAUGAAUUAUUCCAAUUAAUUACAGAUAAAAUUUGAUUUUUCUAACUAAUUUAAAGCUACAAAAAAAAAUUAUACUAAAGUAUACCAUAUUAUAUAUUCAUCGCGUAGAUCUACUCAUGAGGAGUCCAACAAAAUUAGAUUUUCUAUUUUAUGAUUUUUCUGUGAUUUAUUAUGAUUUUUUAAAGAUAAUAUGAAAAUAAAUAGGGAAAAAGAAAAGCCAGACUGUAGCAAAACCAUGGUUACUGUAGCAAAAUCGCCGUCAAAAACCGCCCAGGGGUGAUUUAAACGAGUUUGGAUAGUUCAGAGAUUAAAUUAGAUCGUUUCAUAGUUCGGGGGUAAAGUAUAUAUCACUUUAGGGGGAUGAUGUAGACUUUUUCGUGUUAGUAUACACAGACACAAAAGUCACACAACUCGCAUAAAUCUGCAUUGCUACUUUUUGGUCUUCCGAGAAAUAAGAAAUAUCUUUUUUCCUAAAAGAAAAGAAGUAAAUAAGAUUUCUCUAUUUUCAACUGACACAUUUUUUGUUUUUUACCAAGUUUAUUUAUGGCUUUAUGCACGUCGCAAGUAUUCUUUUAUCCAUCUCGCAAAAAAGGUAUUAUUUUAUCCAAAAGUAGGAAUAAAGCUUGUUUUCUUUGUGAAAAAAGUCUACAUAACCCCCUCAACUAUAAAGGAUGGACUACUUCACUCCCUGAUCUAUAAACCAGAUUUUCUACCCCCUAAACUUUCUAAAACUAGUCAAAUAAUCCCCCCAAACAGUUUUGCUACAGUGAUAGUAAUUUUAUCUUUUUAUUUUUAUUUAUUUAUUUUUUAUGAAUCUUUAAAAAAUUAUAGAAAAAUGAAAAAAAUUAAUUUUGUGUUGACUCCACAUGAGUAGAUCUACACAGUAAACAUAUGAUAUGGUAUAUGCUUUAUUACAAAGGUUUCAUUGUAAGUUUAAAUCUAUGCUUUUUUAUAAUUAAUUAGAGUAAUUCAUAUUGUAGCUUCUAUGGUUCAAUUGUCGUGAAAUUUUUAUGAUGUGCUAAUUAUUGUAUGCUAAAACUAUAGCAAAAAUUUCAUACUUAUUGGAUCAUAUAUAACUUAAUUAAAGAUUUAUUUAGAUUUAUGCUUGUUAAAUCUAUGCUUUAUAAUUGGACCAUAGAAACUGCAGCUAUGGAUUAUUCUAAUUAAUUAUAAAAAGCAUAAAUAUAAAGCUACAACAAAAAAAUUUGUAAUAGACACACCAUAUUAUAAACUGUGUAGAUCUACUAAUAUGGAGUCCAACAAAAUUGGAUUUUCUAUUUUAUAAUUUUUUCUAUAAUUUACUAUGAUUUUUUAAAGAUUCAACAAAAAUAAAUAAAAAAAAAGAAAAAAGAAACCACAGUUACUAUAGCAAAACCAUCGCCCGAAACUAUUUAGGGAGUAUUAUUUGACCGGUUUUGAAAAGUUCAGGGAGUACAAAAUCUUGUUUUUUUUUAUAAUUUGGAAGUGAAAGUAGUCCACCCUUAACAAUUUAUGGGGUUAUGUAGAUUUUUUUUUUCUUUGCAAACAAAACUACAGUAAUAUACUCCCGCCCUCGCGUUCCUGCAUGUGCGCAGGGCUGCUUUUUAAUCACAGUUUCACAGUAACAAAAGAAGAAUCAUGCAUGAUUAUACCCCUACCCUUCCAUACGAAGAAUAGAAAUACACACAGGCAAAUACAUAUGAGGCGUCAUCAGCUCUAAACGUGGAUUAGGAGCCUCUCCUGAUGAUGCAUGCAACUACCGGAUAAGCUCCGAUGCAAGGUCCUGAGACGCAUAAAACAAUGGUGUAAUCGUCUGAGGCCAUACCGAAAGAAGCAGAUAAGCCUACGCAAUACGGUGCGCGUAGAUACAAGAUGCCACAACAGUGUGUCUGGAGCUUAAUGGCUGUCUCUAACGUGUCGAUCAAUAAAACUCACGAUAAGAGACAGGCUCAGCACUCGCAAUAAGAGACAGGCUCAGUAGAAAGCACAUGUCAAUAAGAGACAGGCUCAGCACUCGCAACCUACUCAGCAGAAAGCACAUGCCAAUCCCAUCUACAAAUUGUGUCCUUUGCUCUCUUCAGUUUGAAGAAACCGUGGAUCAUCUUUUCAUGGAAUGUAGCUUCGCUAGAAACUGUUGGAGCCUCCUUGGUUUGGUCAUCAUCAGUGAGCCAGAUAUUCUUCGAAGACUUCAAAGCCUCAAAACUCAGCUAAAUGUUUCCUUCUUCAUGGAGGUGAUAAUUCUCUUGUGCCGGAGCAUUUGGAUCUCCAGAAAUGAUGUUAUUUUUAGAGGAAUUUCGGUGAACUGCUUUAGCUGCAUCAAAAUUUUUAGGUAUCACGUCAAACAGCUCCUGUGGAAGGUUAAGAAGAAGUACUUUCCUAGAAUUGAAUCAUGGUUAGAGCAGCUUGUGUAAUUUUUUUGAUUUUUUUCAUUUCUUUCUUUGUGUCCUGAAUGGAUUUGAAAUCCAUCUCCCUCCUCCCCUAGUUUAGUUUUAGUCUUUUUUCCUUGUUUAUUUUUACCUUUGAACUUGUUUCGCCUGUUUUUGCAAUCUCCUAGGUUGUUUUAAUAAAAUUUUCAGUAGGGGCUCCCAUGCCCCUCCUGUUCUUUUUUAAAAAAAACUCACGAUGCUCCUACAAAAGAUCUCGCUAAAGAUGAAGGCAUGUGAUUAUCUGCUUCUUCCGGCAUGAAUAGCCGUGACCGUGAUUACCUUUCUUAGAAAAAAAAAAUCCAAGAAAGCUAGCCUGGUGUUUACCUUUUCCAUUGACAGAAAGGUUAGUGUUUAUUCACUGUAUUUUCACCAUCCGCUUAUUUUUUGCACUGAUUUUCCAACCAGAGUGCUCCAAACUCCAUAUUUGACAAUCAUGAACUGGCUAGCAUUUUCCUAGACUAUAAGAUGGAGUGCCGUAUGGACAAUAUAUCUGCUGCAGUUACACACCAGUGCUCACUGAUGGGUUAGGAGAAGCAACCUUUUAGUGUGAGGCCUUGUUUGGUUCCUCUGAUUUUUUUAACUCCCUGUAACAUCGAAUGUUUAGACACAUGCAUGGAGUACUAUAUAUAUAUAUAUAUAUAUAUAUAUAUAUAUAUAUAUAUAUAUAUAUAUAUAUAUAUAUAUAUAUAUAUAUAUAUAUAUAUAUAUAUAUACCGCAAGUCAAAACUGAGCAGAAAAAAUACUGAGCAGUACUGAACAACGUUCAGUAUCAUCCAUCACUACACCUAGGAUCAUGAAAUACUGAACAAUACUGAAACGUGAAUACUGAAUAAUACUGAAUUCUGUUCAGUAUAACAGAUUGGUGUAGAAUAAUAUUCUACACCUAGGGUGUAGAAUAUUAUUCUACACCUAGGGUGUAGAAUAGCACUUGUAUAUAUAUAUAACUAAAAACAUAGCUAGAACAUAAUUAGUCCAUGAUUAGACACUAAUUAUCAAAUAUCAAAUAAAACAAAAAUACUAUAAUGCCUAUUAAAUUUUAACACCCCCUAAGCAUCUUGUGUGCCUUGAGUCAAAACAUACUAUUGUGAAGGAACGGACUAAGUCUACGUGGAGAGGCCAAAGAGAACCAAUACCAUGAGAAUACUGAGUCUAGUUUCAGCUGACAAAUUUUAGCUUCACAAGAACAGCAAACAGGGGCGGACCCCCCCUACACCUAGUGCAUUAAUGGAGAUAUAAGAGGGUGAGGAAGAAGAAGUGGAGGAAAGAAGAAAAAUAAAGAGAAAUAGUAGAAGAAGAAGAAGAAGAAAUCAGCACCCCUUCAAUCUUGUUCUACAUGCGUCACUGCCAGCAAACAGCACGAGCUGGUGAAGCAACGAACGCCAAGUGAGCUCGUCGUUCGGGUCCAGUAGACCAGGACACAAGACCAGCAAACAACUCGGGCCUGGUCAAGCGGCGCACAGCGGAGCCCAUUCAAUUCAAACGGUCAAACUAUUUACGCUAGGCAAGAGUCGCAAUUUUUGGAAAGCAAUAAAACUAGUACAACGGCCGAAUUUCCCGCGAGUCAAAGUCAACGACGCGCCCGCCACCUGAGAGCAGUUCGCACGCGCUAAUCAUCUUCCCCGACGAGCAUUAGCGCGCGCAGGUAUUUAUACCUCAAUCGCCACCUCCUCGUUCCUCAGACAUUCACACCUCUCUUGUCUCUCCCUUCCUCUUCCUCUUCCUCUUCCUCGUCUUCUUCACGGAGAUCAACACACAAGCCUACAGCUGCUGCAGAAAGACAAGAACAGAGUCAAGCUCAAGCAGGGAGAACUGGAGAAGUGAUUGUCGGGAAAGACAAAGAACGGAGGGCGGGUUUGACAUCAGUCGAGGAUGGAUUUAGUGCGGAUGGGGAGCAUCGCCAGCGGGAGCAUGCGGCGGACGGCGUCGUCGUGGCGGGCGUCAGGGCGGAGCGACGCUUUCGGCCGGUCCGUGCGGGAGGAGGACGACGAGGAGGCGCUGCGAUGGGCGGCCAUCGAGAAGCUGCCCACCUACGACCGCAUGCGCAAGGGCAUCCUCACGGGCGCCGGCGCAGGCUUCGAGGAGGUGGACAUCCAGGGGCUCGGCAUGGAGGAGCGCAAGAACCUCAUUGAGCGCCUUGUACGCACCGCCGAGGAGGACAACGAGCGCUUCCUGCUCAAGCUCCGUGACCGUAUGGAGCGGUGAGCAAAUCCACUUCUUCAUCUCCAAUCCUUGAUCACCUCUGAAAGCAACUCAGAAGCACUUGAGAAAUGAUCUGCAGCAAUUCACAGAGAAGCAUACAGUGUUACUCAUGUGUUGUUGUUGUUCUUUUUCUUUUGGGUUUUGCAGAGUUGGGAUCGAUAAUCCAACAAUAGAAGUGCGGUUUGAGCACCUGAACAUCGAUGCAGAGGCCUACGUCGGCAACCGGGGUAUCCCGACGAUGACCAACUUCUUCUCCAACAAAAUCAUGGUAUGCAUCUCAUCUGCAGCGGCACCUUCAUGCUUCCUAGCCAUGGGGAAAAAAAAGGCUUGUUAAGUUCCUUCAACUACUAACUCUUGUGAGCUGCUCCUAUCACAGGAUGCACUAAGUGCUAUGCACAUCGUUGCCAGCGGGAAGAGACCUAUCUCUAUCCUUCACGACAUCAGUGGAGUCAUACGACCCGGCAGGUAAGGAAUCCAAGAAUUUUAAAAUCCAAGAUCUCAGUUUUUAUGUAGUUGUACUUACUAUUGCCUAUCUGUUCAGAAUGUCUCUGCUGCUUGGUCCCCCUGGAUCCGGGAAAACAAGUCUACUUCUGGCUUUGUCAGGGAAACUUGACUCAACUCUGAAGGUACCACAUCUUAGAAUACUUUCUUGAUUAUGAACUUCGAGAUCCUAGGCACAAAAAAAUAUGUAUUUUGGGAGAAAGGUACCAGCAAAUUGUACUAAAAUGGAUGAACUUGCAAUGGAAAAUUUCAGGUGUCAGGAAGAGUAACUUACAAUGGUCAUGACAUGGAUGAAUUUGUCCCUCAGAGGACAUCAGCAUACAUUGGGCAGCAUGAUAUUCACGUAGGCGAAAUGACGGUCCGGGAAACACUUUCCUUCUCUGCAAGAUGUCAAGGAGUUGGAACACGUUAUGGUAUGUAACACUGACAUUGAAAAGGAACAAAGAUCAUUCACCUUUGGUAAAGUGGAUCUGAUGGUGUUUUCAAUUACACAGACAUGCUUACUGAACUUUCAAGAAGGGAGAAAGAAGCCAACAUUCAGCCAGAUCCUGAUAUCGAUGUUUACAUGAAGGUAUAUUUCAUUUAAUUCAAAUCAAACCCUGUAUUUACAUUGCAAGUAACAAAGGUUACUAAGUUAUUGUGUGAUUCUGUGCAAAUAGGCUAUUUCCGUGGAAGGUCAGGAAAGUGUGGUCACAGAUUACAUCCUCAAGGUGGGUAAAAAUAUACUGAACAAAAAUAGAUAGGAGAAAUGGAUAUGACCCCUAACACUGCCUGUAUUUCUUUUGCAGAUUCUAGGUCUGGAGGUCUGUGCAGAUACAAUGGUUGGAGACUCUAUGAUCAGAGGUAUCUCAGGAGGACAAAAGAAGCGUGUCACAACUGGUAUGUGCAAUCUGCAGUUAAAUUAAGAUUUGUGUAUCAAGCCUUUCGACCCUGAUUGAAAAAUCUGACUUCAUGUCUUGUUGAAUUUUCACAGGCGAGAUGCUUGUUGGUCCAGCUAAGGCGCUAUUCAUGGAUGAAAUCUCCACUGGUCUGGACAGCUCCACAACAUAUCAGAUUGUUAACUCUCUAAGGCAGUCGGUCCACAUCCUUGGUGGAACUGCACUUAUCGCAUUGCUUCAGCCUGCGCCUGAAACAUAUGAGCUCUUCGAUGACAUUGUUCUCCUCUCUGAGGGCCAAAUCGUAUACCAGGGUCCUCGGGAGAAUGUCCUUGAAUUCUUUGAGGCCAUGGGCUUCAAAUGUCCUGAGAGAAAAGGUGUUGCAGACUUCUUGCAAGAAGUGAGUGAUCCUGCAGACUCCUAUUUACUGCACGUUCAGACUUGGAACCCAAUUUAACAUUGCUCUCUGUGAUCACAGGUUACAUCUAGGAAGGAUCAACACCAGUACUGGUGCAGAAGAGACGAGCGAUACAGAUACAUCUCAGUUAAUGACUUUUCAGAAGCGUUCAAAGCAUUCCACGUUGGGCGUAAGCUGGGAACAGAGCUCAAGGAGCCCUUCGAUCGCACCAGGAACCAUCCUGCAGCUCUCACAACGUCGAAGUAUGGUAUCAGCAAGAUGGAGCUUCUCAAAGCAUGCUUCUCUAGAGAGUGGCUACUGAUGAAGAGGAACUCAUUUGUUUAUAUCUUCAAAGUAGUCCAGGUAUUCAUCUUGCUUUCUGAAUUCUUCUCAACUUCCAAAUCAGAUAGUAAAUUCUGAUGAAUGUUCCAUAUUUGCACCAGCUCAUCAUUCUCGGAACCAUUGCGAUGACGGUCUUCCUGCGCACGACAAUGCAUCGACGUGGUGUCGAAGAUGGAGUGAUAUUUCUGGGCGCUAUGUUCCUUGGACUAGUCACACAUUUGUUCAAUGGUUUUGCUGAGCUCGCCAUGAGUAUUGCAAAGCUGCCAAUAUUCUAUAAGCAGAGGGAUCUCCUCUUCUAUCCAUCGUGGGCAUAUGCAUUGCCUACAUGGUUGCUAAAGAUACCAAUAUCAUUUUUGGAAUGCGCUGUGUGGAUUGGCAUGACUUACUAUGUCAUUGGCUUCGAUCCAAACAUCGAAAGGUUCUUUCGCCAUUACCUGCUGCUCGUACUAAUCAGCCAGAUGGCAUCUGGACUUUUCCGGCUUCUUGCUGCAGUAGGCAGAGAAAUGGUCGUCGCAGACACAUUUGGGUCAUUCGCGCAGCUUGUUCUUCUGAUUCUUGGUGGUUUCUUGAUAGCAAGAGGUAAGACAAGUCUUCAUACACCCAUUGCUUUGAUAGUUCUAGGAUCAUGUAAUUGAGUUCUCUUCUGCAGAUAACAUCAAGAAAUAUUGGAUCUGGGGCUAUUGGUCCUCCCCUCUGAUGUAUGCCCAGAAUGCCAUAGCAGUGAAUGAAUUCCUUGGCCAUAGCUGGCAAAAGGUAAUGUAGUGACUUAACCAAUCUAAGCUAUGAUCACUCUAAAGUUCAGAUAGACAGCGGAGUUAACAAAUAAUGUCAAUCUUUUCUUAGGUUGUCGAUAGUACACAUAGCAACGACACGCUCGGAGUUCAAAUCCUAAAGGCCCGCGGCAUCUUUGUCGAUCCAAACUGGUAUUGGAUUGGUGUUGGUGCAUUGCUUGGGUAUAUCAUGCUCUUCAACGUACUCUUCAUUCUGUUCCUUGACUGGCUUGGCCGUGAGUACCUUCUCUGCUCAAACGGAUAGUCCACACACUUUAAAAUAUCUUAUGUUUGGCACUAACAUAAUUCUUGUAAACACAGCACUUGGACAAGGUCAGGCCGUUGUUUCUGAAGAGGAGCUGAGGGAGAAGCAUGUAAACCGUACUGGUGAAAAUGUUGAGUUGCUGGCUCUUGGAACAUCUUCUCAGAAUUCGCCUUCAGAUGGUGAGUCAUAAGCAGAUCUCCAUGCAACAUACAUCAGAUAAUACAUGUCAUUGUUGCAUCAUUGUAACAAGUCCAUAAAAAUGCAGGAAGAGGAGAAAUUGCUGGAGCUGAAACCAGGAAUAGAGGAAUGGCACUUCCAUUUACGCCAUUGUCCAUCACCUUUGACAAUGUCAAAUACUCAGUGGACAUGCCUCAGGUAAGCAUAAAUUAGAAGAUCUGUGUUAUCAAAAAAACACAAACUGAUAAUACUAAAUAGUAAUUAAUAAUUGUAUGACUCUUUGAUAGGAAAUGAAAGACAAAGGUAUUACUGAAGACCGUCUACUGCUGCUGAAGGGUGUAAGUGGAGCCUUCAGACCAGGAGUCCUUACAGCACUGAUGGGAGUCAGUGGAGCGGGUAAGACUACCCUGAUGGAUGUGUUGGCGGGAAGGAAAACUGGUGGUUACAUUGAAGGAGAUAUUUCAAUCUCUGGAUACCCAAAGAAACAAGAAACCUUUGCUCGGAUUGCUGGCUACUGUGAGCAAAAUGAUAUCCAUUCUCCACAUGUCACUGUUUAUGAAUCCCUCCUGUACUCCGCAUGGCUCCGGUUGCCCCAUGAAGUGGAUUCAGAAGCAAGAAAGGUAGGUCAGAAUUGACUUCAUUCUGCUAGCUCUUAAGCAACACAGUAAUAUUUUUCAUAGUAGCCGAUAAUUAUAGUGCUUCACUAAUCGGAUUACUUCAUUGGUGCAGAUGUUUGUGGAACAAGUCAUGGAACUCGUGGAAUUGACACCACUGAGGGGAGCAUUGGUAGGACUGCCAGGAGUAAAUGGUUUAUCCACAGAACAGAGGAAGAGACUCACCAUUGCUGUUGAGCUCGUGGCCAAUCCAUCCAUCAUAUUCAUGGAUGAACCAACUUCAGGACUAGAUGCGAGGGCAGCUGCAAUCGUGAUGAGGGCAGUCCGAAACACGGUGGAUACUGGAAGGACGGUUGUCUGCACAAUCCACCAGCCAAGCAUUGAUAUAUUUGAAGCUUUCGAUGAGGUAAGUGGCAAAAACCAUAAAACAAGGUUCUUCCAAAGUUUUUUUUUAACUCUGCAUGUAACACUCACAUGUCUUCUUGAACUCUGCAGCUAUUUCUAAUGAAACGAGGAGGAGAAGAAAUAUAUGUCGGACCUUUGGGACGCAACUCAUGCCAUCUGAUUGACUACUUUGAGGUGAGCUUCAGAACUCACAUAUUGAGAAACACACAUCCACUUCCAACUUAUGACAUCCAUGUAACCAUGCUUCGUGAUUCAAAUGCAGGGAAUAGAAGGAGUAAAGAAAAUCAAGGAUGGUUACAACCCUGCAACUUGGAUGUUGGAAGUGACCACCUUAUCUCAAGAAGAUAUCCUUGGGAUCAACUUUGCCGAAGUAUACAGAAACUCUGACCUGUACCGGUAUGUUCAAUCAGAUUAACCUCAGAAUGGUGUUUAUGCUUUAUCUGUGCUGUGUUUCAUGUUGCUGAUUGGGGUGCAUCAUUGCAGGAGGAACAAAGCUUUGAUUAGUGAAUUAAGCAUACCACCACCAGGGUCCAGGGACUUGUACUUCCCAACCCAGUAUUCACAAUCCUUCCUUACACAAUGCAUGGCUUGCCUGUGGAAGCAGCACAAGUCUUACUGGAGAAAUCCAUCAUAUACCGCAACUAGAAUCUUCUUCACAACAGUUAUUGCUCUCAUCUUCGGAACCAUCUUCUUAAACUUAGGAAAGAAAAUGUAAGUACCUUUGCUUACAGCACCAGCUGUGACCUGAUAUAUGUUGGCACAUUGUGACAAAGAAACUUACUUGUACUGUCUUUUCUCCAGUGGCACUAGGCAGGACCUGUUAUAUGCUUUGGGAUCCAUGUAUGCAGCAGUUCUUUUCAUUGGAAUUCAGAAUGGUCAAACUGUGCAGCCAAUUGUGGAUGUUGAGCGAACAGUUUUCUACCGAGAAAAGGCAGCUGGAAUGUACUCUGCUCUACCCUAUGCUUUUGCACAGGUAAUUUGGUUGUAACUGAACAUUUGGAUAAUAGGAAAUAAUUGUUCUUUUCUUCCUUAAACCUAGAGCUGAGUUCUACUACCUUUGAACAGGUUCUUAUUGAGAUCCCACACAUCUUCCUUCAGACAGUCGUGUAUGGUCUCAUUGUCUACAGCCUGAUUGGCUUUGAAUGGACAGCUGAGAAGUUCUUAUGGUAUAUGUUCUUCAUGUUCUUCACCUUCAUGUACUUCACGUUCUAUGGGAUGAUGGCAGUCGCCAUGACACCAAACAGUGACAUUGCCGCUAUAGUCUCAACUGCAUUCUACGCAAUAUGGAACAUCUUUGCCGGCUUCCUUAUCCCCCGCCCGGUAAGUGUCCAAGAGUAACCCUUGUACUAUGCUACACCUCAAUUUUCUCUGUACUGUUGAUGCUGAAGCAUACAUGGCUGGCUUGCAGAGGAUACCAAUAUGGUGGAGAUGGUACUCGUGGGCUUGCCCAGUGGCUUGGACACUAUAUGGACUUGUCGCCUCACAAUUUGGAGACAUCACAGACGUCAGGCUGGAAGAUGAUGAGAUAGUGAAAGAUUUCGUCAACAGAUUCUUUGGAUUCUAUCAUGACGACUUGGCUUAUGUAGCUACUGCUGUUGUUGGAUUCACUGUUCUCUUUGCUUUCGUCUUUGCCUUCUCCAUCAAAGUCUUCAACUUCCAGAGAAGAUAAGGGUGGGCGCCAUCUAAAAAAAGAUUUGGUGUUGCUUCAGCUCACUUUCAGUAUAUACUAUAUAGGCACUGCAGCAAUGUAAAAUGGUGAGAGAGUAUAUAUGUAGCCGUUGCUUCUUUCUAGGAAGUUAACGUCAUUUUUUGUUUUCCGACCAGUUUGGCCUGUACUGAACAGAAAGGGGCCUGUGUGUAAAUUGUAUGUAGACUGUGCAGAGCUGAGUUCAAUACUUCAAUGUAAGAUUUUCCGUUAAAUCUAUACCUUUUGUCCAAGUGAGACUUGCCUCCAGAAAUUAAGUCCAUGAACAUGAGGGGGGAAAAAAGAAGGUGGCGCCUAUCAGCCUAUGUAACGAAGAAGGGCAUUUCGGUUCUGACAGAAUGACAGAUACUUAAAGAUGUCCAUAAAUAUAAAUUAGGAACACAGAUAAACUGAACAUUCAGAAGCAGCAUCCCUCUCACUGCUGACGAACCCCAAUUCUGCCACUAAGUGGCCAGGGAUCCGAAAUUUCGCGAAACUCGAACCGAAUUGGUAUCCUGAACAACAUCAUCAAGUAACUUGUCGUAAUUCCUACGCAGAACCCAGAAUGGUGCACCGACCAGCGAAAGAGCCGAGGAACAGGCGGCAGGUGCGGGUCGUGACUCGCAAACCCUUUCUAAAUCCCAAAUCAACCUCUUCACCCCCCCCCCCCCCCCCAUCCAUCGCCCAUCGGCAGGCUUGGUCUGUAUCUAAAUGCUAGUAUAAUGGAUCACAAUUUGCGGCGCAAAACUGCUCAAUGGAAGGAUAAAAUCGCGAGAUUAGCAUCAUCACCUGCAGGCUGCAGCCGUAGCUCCCACUGCUCGCGCCAGCCGCCGCAGCCGCAGCCCAUGCCAUUUGCCAUAUGCCAAGCAGGACGAGGACGGAACCGCCAGUCCACCACCGCAGGCUGGGUGCGGAACAAGCCGCCGAAGAGGCAUCAACGGUCUAGACUAGAGCCUCGCUACUCCGGCCGCCGGAAUGGCCCGCCACCGCUGCGGAGUUUGCGCGACUCGGGCGCGGUGUGGCCCGGUUCCAGUCUCCUGACGAGAGAUUUCAGAAUAUGGCUUUUUGCUUUGGCACGUGAGUGAUCCGCGAACAAAUUUUGCCCAAGAUGAUGUUGGUGGUCCAGUCCAGGUUCAUACUAGUUAGUGCCCGGUCAAAAUUUUUCAAGACGCUUAGAUUUGAUUUUAGUGUGCUUGUUCUGAAAUCACAUUAGGAAAGAUGUUCUGAAUCAAAUGUACUUAUUUCUCUCGUCAAAAUGAAGAUAGCUCGUGUCGUGCCAAUGUCAUGCUUCGAUCAGAGGCUAUCUUAAACGCUUUCUACGACCAUGCUUACUGUGAUGGUGAAUGGGAUCCUCUGCUCCCGUAAGUAUAAUAAUAACUGUACAGUGUACUGAACUGAAUUGUCUGAAAGUGUCGAAAGAUCAAACAAGCUGAAUAAAUAUUCAGAACUGGUGGUGAUUUCUCGUGACUCGUGAGCCACGUUUCCUCUUCCUUUCCUGUGAUGAAAUCGGUUACGGGUCACAUCUUUAUUCUCUUUUCCCCGUUGCAAUCUUUACUUCAGUUGCUUGAUGUGCCUUGCAUGAUUCAGAUAGUUCUGACGAUCUGAUCGAUGUAUUGGGAGUACUUUUAGGAACAGUGGCCGGUUUUUAGCCAAUGGCGGAGUUAGGAUUUGAAUCUUGGGUAUUCCCUUGCUAGUGUCUGGUGGGCCGCCACUCAACUGUUGUCUCUAAUCUUAUGAUCGAUGUGCACCCUCGCCGGUCACCAUGUAGGCACAACAUAGAGACAGAGGUCGCGCCCGCGCUACACACCCCGCGCCGCUAGGAGCUCAGGACACUGGAAACUACAGUGCAGCCACCACGUCAUGUUUAGUCGGCUAUGGUUAGAGAUUUAGGAAUGAGGAUUAUGGAAUUGCCUCCUACUCAUGCCUCGUUCACUCACACUAAAAGAAUACUUUAUUAUACAUGUUGUCAUGUGCAUAUUCCGAUUUAUCUUGAAAAAGAGUUUCAAAACAAGAUAUGAUUUGUACUAAUAUUUGGUGGCAUGAGUUAAUAUGUAUAUGGUCUGGAGAUAAAUAAAUUAGGUUCUCAUUUAUAGAAACAACAAAAUAGAAUAAUUUCAGCAAUCGAGCUAAUAUAGAACCUAUGUGGAAAAAGAAAUACAAAGAUAGAUUAAAAAGAUUGAAAGAGAAAUGUUAUUUGCUAAAUAUAGAAAUGCUAAUAUAUUAGAUAUACAUAUAUAUAAAUACACCUAUAUAUACUUAGUGUAUAAAAAAAUUGGGUAUUCGUGGGAAUACCAGGAAUAUCCUCUGUAUCCGCCCAUGUUUUUAGCUAAUGCUCCGUUUCAUGAGCCGUUCCGGAUUCUAGGCCGGAACCAGAGAAUCAAGUGCCAAACGGUGAAACCUUGUGCAUUCGUGCCUGCAAACUUGAAACAGCCAAAAGGUGGUUUCACAGGUUAUCUUGUCUCUCUUAUACACUAGUAAUUGUUCUUUUUUCAAUUAUAAUCCAUUUUAGUGCAAUAAAUUAAAAUAGGUUAUCUCUAAGUUGUUCUUCGCUCACAAAAAGAAUUUAUUUUUUUAAGUAUAUUUUUAUUUGAGAUUUUUUACGGUGCUCCUCCCGUUAAAAUAUUUUGCAGCAGGUUUUAGUUAAAAUUUUUAAUUAAGGGUAGAUUAGUAUUUUUUUCCUACGGGGCAGAUUCUCAACUCUAUAAGGGCUCUCUCCACGAAGGCACGAACUGUCAAGAUCUGCGUCGCCGCCCGCCCUGCUGCGGAGAGUCCGUCGUGUCGCAUCCUAGGCCGCUGCCUCGCCGCCCGCCCUGCUGCGGAGCUCCUUUUGAUUCUGAGGACAAGUUCAUUUUUUUAAUUAGAAGCAGCUUCUAAAAUGUUAAAAAUACAAUAAUAUCCUUUGAUUUUAAUUACAAACUAGUUCCGGAUCCACAAAUUUUUGGUUCCGGUUCACGACUUAAGUUCCUCUUAUUUGGUUCUUCCUAUUUUCAGACCAUUAGAUCUAACAAGCUCUCGUUAUUUCCAAGCGUAGUAAAAUUUCUCUUUUUAUUUAUAUGAUUUUUUAGAAAAAAAUCCCUUAUGAAUCAAAAUCCAGCCUACUAGCCAAACGGUUGUACAAACUGAUUCUGAUUUAUCAUCCGGAAUGUUUAUAUGGUAAUCUAAUCCAUACAAAACGCACCUCGGAGGAUGCAGUUUCAAGAGGCAAAACCAUCUCAUAAGGCAAGUUUUUUCAUGUUUCCCCUUUUCUCCCUCAGAGGACGUAGAAAAUAAAUUUGUUUUGUUUUUUAACAAGAUGAUGCAAAAUUGUUUUUAAGCAGAAAAAGUGAUGAAGUUAAAAUGAGUGAAGAUUGUUGAUGAAGCAAGAAGACAGCGAGAGGCCGAGAGUGCACCAUAUAACUUCAUAAGCAAAAGCAACAUACCACAGCAGACAACACACCAAAGAACCAAAUAUGCAUCUACUGAAUGAUGAAGUUCUGUGAUUCUGCAUGCCUAAUCUUGCAGAUGCAGAAGCACCUACUGGACAGUAAGUUCAUGAAAGUAUAAGAGAGAGAGAAAGAGAGCAAUAACACAAGAAACCCUUAUAUAUACACAAGGACUGUAACGUACAUAUAGUACCAGUGGCAAUCACAGAUUUACAUUUUACAGUCGCAAGUACAGCGUUUCACUGGACUCACUCCAGAUACUGGGGUAGCUAGAUAGCUAGCUAGCUCACUAUGGUUAACGUAGAGUUAACGCUUCAACCAAUCACAUUUAUUUACAGCAUGUUUUUAUUUUGACGAUAGAUUGAUCGCAGUUCUUCACAACCGAAACAAAUCCACAUUCCACAACAAAUCCAUAUGAUGAUGAAGCGGCGGCGGAAUUGUUGGUUGAACCGACCUUACUCGUCCUUCUUGCCGCAGCAGCAGAAGCACUCCAGGCAGUGCUCGCAGGCCUCGUAGCAGCAGAAGCAGCAGCAAAACAUGAAGGCGCUGCAAGCAAGGAAAAAAAAUCUGUGUUCAGCAUGAUGCAUCCUACAAAUGAAUGUGUAAAUUUGUUUUGAUGCUUGCGGAAAACAUAAGAUUGUGCAGAUUCUGCAGAUGCAGAACAACGCUUAUCGAGUACAUCUAGAUUAUAUUGCUGUGAUCUUACUGACCAGGCAUAGAGGAAGCCCUUCUCCUCAUGGCGCUUCUUGACAUGCUCCAUGGCCGACAGCUUCCUGUCCUCGCUCUGUGAAGGCUCAUCCAUUGUCGCUGCCGCCUCUUCUUCCCCACAGAAAUGAACACUAACUGAAAUUUGAAAAGGAAGGGAAAAAGAUGGCAGGUAGCUAAGGUAAGGGAGGCGUAUAGCUUGUUCUUACACCCGUUCUAGUGUGUGGUAUAUAAGAAGGUGGCUUAGAGCAUGUGGCUUACCGCUACGGCGCUACUACCUAACCUCUUGCUCCUCGUGAGAUUGUUUCAGGCUUUCAGCAUCCACUGACAGUGCACUAUUUUAUUUCAGUUGGAGAUUGAUCGUGCAUCAUUGUUUCAUUUCAUAUUUUCUUUUCUCUCUCCCUCAUUGUAGCGAUAAGCUCGAUCAUAUCGCAAUCAUGGUGCUCCCCACCAAUUUCAACCGAUGGUCACGCAGAUUGCUCGCUAGGAGAUACCUUGGAAGAUGCCCUCAAAAUGUCACUGUGAGAUAGGGAUGCGUGUCUGUGUAGAUAAGUAGGCCUUUGACAGUGCAUUUGGCUCUUGCAAGUGGUCAGGUUGUGUGCAAACUAUAUAUGCAAAGGCUGGAACAAGUUUUCAAUUAUUCCUAAAAGGAAGCUCUUGCAAGUUGCAACAAAUGGAAAUGAAAAGGCAGUGUCCCUUAAGACACCACAUCAUUGGCUUUAGACUUUUGAUGAGAUCGUUUAUUAGGCUUCAAAAGAAGCUGUCCUUUUUGCUUAUUAAUUAAAGGGGGGCAAGGAAGGGACUCGGCACCAAAUUGACAUAGCUAGCUAGCUAUCAACAGCGAAAACAGGUGAAGGACUGUGAUUGGGGUUCAAUGUGCGGAAAUGAUCUGCAACAUCAGCUAAUUUGCGUGAUCGAUUUAUGAAUUUGCGUGAUCUGAAUUCCGAACUGUCACGAUGUUGACUUGUUGUAUGGUUAGUUACUUUGUGGUGGCAAUUUUAUUGUACCAAAGACAGUCAAAUCACAGGACAACAACUAGUAUGAAUUUUUUUGCUUUUUUUUCAGAAGCGCGUGGAACAUCAUUGUACAGAACUAAAAUAGUACAACUUUGGCAUUUCUAGUGACAAAUAAAUAAAAUAAAUGACAUAUAGAGAGGUUGAUAGGUAUCAUAUGUCUGCACCAUGCUGCAGGAUUUUGCACCACUUGUAGUUCUUAGGGUACUAGGUAGGCUCCUGAUUAAAUCAUUCAUCAAGGAUCAAGCUCAAUCGAAGGUUAAGAUAUAUCGUGGUGACAUGCCACCAAAUGAGUGAUAGCUCCUUGAAAUAUACCAUCAAAUUGUAAAACCUCUUGUCACUCUUGUCUCUCCUUUAUUAAAAUUACUGUAGGGAAAAAUAUAUACCAUCAAAGCAAAAUGAACCAAUAAUCACUUCUUUAUACUCUAAAUUUCAUUUUUGUACGCAGUUGGAGACACGCAGUAUUGUUUUCAGAUGUUACUUUCAGUGAUUCAUCGUCUGUGCCCCAGUCUCCACUGACUACCUGUAAUGUAAGCAUCAAUAAUAUCGAGCACCAGCAAAUAUGAAAUGAUGUGGCCUAAUAUUAGGGGUGUGAAGUGUCCUUGUAGCAACAGAGCCAAAUAUAUCGCACGAAUCAGAUGGCUGCCGUGUGUGGUUGCAUAACAUGACUUACUUUUCAGGCAUUAGACGGUAAGGGUUCAGAGGAUAUCUAUCGCAUCAGCAUAUCCCACUUCUGGUCUUAUGGAGAAUGAAUGUUGCUCCCGGGUUCGUCUGUUUAUAUUACUUUUUGUCUGAGUUGAACUAGCACUACUAAUCCCUCCAAAAGUAUUUCAUAGCAAAUUGUCUAGCGUCCACAACAUGAUUUCACCGUGUUUCAAACACAAGAUUACUCUUUCAAAAACAACACAAGAUUUGUGUAGGAAUUUCCACAAAGAAUUCAAAUCCAACUGUUAAUGAGGUUUUUUUGAACUGAAACAGCUGGUCCCAACUCAGUUAGUCGUGUGUGGGUGACUGGGUGUGGUCGUAUGUCCAGACCAUCCUAUUUCAAGUCCUCUUCGAAACAAAUUUGGAUGUCUAAUUCUUCUAGGCCUCGUUUGGGUCCUUCGAAUUAAAUUUAUUUUAAUAAUCAUAAUUUAGACACAUAUUAGUUAAGCUAAUAUGGUUGUGUAUUAACUCCAUUUGUAUGUUAUUGUUGACUAUACGAGAGAGAUACUUAUGUGUUGUAUUUGAAUCGUAGGAGAGCGAGUUGAAGAGCGUGUUAUAGGUUUUUUAGAAAAGGAUAGAAACAUAGAAUGGUGAUCUAUAAAAUCAAAUUUCAUCUCUCACCCUGUGAAUAUGAGAUAGGCUUAUAUGUGAACUUUGGAAAAUGGUGGAAUUUCAAAUUCUAAGGCAAAUAAUAACCUAAUUUAUUAAGUACAUUUUAAUCUAUAACUCUUAUAAAGCUAAACCCCACUAGAUGAAUUCUCUCUUCAUGCAAAUUGUCCACAUCAUUCCCCACUAAAUAUUCUAUCUCUUCAUACAAGGUGUCCACAUCAUUCCUCACUAAGUCCAUGUCAUCUCAUAUUAAUUACAAAAAAUAAUCAUGUCAUCUAUAUCAUGUGAAAUACUUUAAAUCUUUAAUCUAUUACAUACAUAAUAGACAGAAUAUCAUAUAGUAAUGCUAUGUAUAUAAUUAUUUAUUUUUAAAAAAAUCCCGCAGCAACGCGCGGAGAAUUCACCUAGUUCCUCCAAUAAAAGUCACCCAUUUCCUUCUAGGUUGGUCGAAUUUUAUGUUUACCAUCUGAACUAGCUUCCCAAUCACUUACCUCCAGUCCAAUGACUAUUUUGGUGUCUUCCACCCCCUUUUCUUUGUGGAAUUUUCAGCUUUGAUUUUGAUUUGUUAAGCUGGAGCACUGCCAAGUGCUGGCGCUUCAGAUUUGCACGAAAUCUGCUCCAAGACUGCCACAAGUUGAUGUGGACAUGCAUGUUUAUCUACAAAAAUCAUGAUUUGGUUGUAAAAUAGAUUACAGUAGUAUAUAUGUACCUGACGGCGAUAGAAUCGAUGUUAACAAACCAACAAGCCCCAAAUGUAUUAUGCAUAUGAUUGGGUUUGCUGAUUAAGGACAAUGUGAAAACUUCUAUAUAAGCAGAUGGCAUAAUACAAAGAUUAACCCUAAAUUUUUCGUUAUCUAUGACUCAUUUGUCAUCUCGUAUGUGUCAAUUUGAGAGAAAAGGAUACUGCUGCACCUAUCACCAUGCCUUACGGAUCACGUUAAGCUGUCCAUUCCUGUUCACUAAAGCCACAAGCUUCAACAGAUUACAACAAUGGCGAGCUAGGCACCAGCCCACAUUUGACGAAGCCAGAGUAGAAGGCAGGAAAGGAAACUUGGAACACCUCAGCUUAUGUAUAUAUGAACAAAGACAAAGCAGCAAGAUCCAGGAAUAUGUUUCUCCUAGACACGAUCGCCCCAAACUUGCUUACAGUAUAGACACAGCCUUGAAGCCAAUGAGUAUUAGGAGGUGCCACAGUCAGCUAAUCUGCUAGAACAGUACUAUAUAUAUGUACACCAGGUAAUCUUUGUGAAAUCGAAGAAUUGCACCUAGCAACCAAAGUUAAAUCAACCCAAAGUUUUCUAAAAGAAGAUGGUAUGGGAAACGAAAGCAGCACACAUGCGCUACAGAAAUCUGCUUUCGUUGUUUCACCUUCUUUUCUUCCCGCCUUAACCUAGGUCUUGUAAGCUGCACCAUAACAGGAAGACUUGCUGUCCAGUCUUGUUCCAAACACAAAGCACUAGUUCCCUAGCAAUCUAGUCCGUGACGCUAAAAUUUGCCAGCUGAGACUGGAGCCAAUAUUCCCAUGGCAUGGGUUCUCUUUGGCCUCCACAUAGUCCGAGCCUUCACAAUGGUAUGCCCUGACUCAAGGCACAGAAGAUGCUCACACUGAAAGGUUGUUUCUCCUAACCCAUCAGUGCAGUCAGUGAACACUGUGGUGUGUGACUGCAGCACACUGUCCUUACUGCACUCCCUCUUGUAGUCUAGGACAAUGCUAGCCAGUUCAUGAUUCUCAAAUAUGGAGAUUGGAGCGCUCUGGUGGGAAAAAUGAGUCAAAAAAUCAGAGGAUGGUAAAAAUACAGUAAAUAAACACUAACCUUUCUGUCAACGAAAAAUGUAAACACCAGGCAACACGAUUAUGUAAACUAGUGAAAUGCCAGGUAGCACAAGCAAAAGGAAGAAGUCAAUUAUAACAAAACUCCUAGGGAAGGCGAACAUUCAGUACAGUAUCCUGAAUUCUACAUCCUGCAAACCCAUUAGAUGAAGAAUUUGCAUAAGAAACUACAAACAGAAAUUCCAGUGUCAAGCUUCAGAUCAAGGGCACAAACAGAAAUAAAAGCAUGUGAUUGUGUACCGAAUGACCAAUUAAACAGAUUAUUUAUCUGAAAAUAGCAUUCCAUGACCUCUUGAGGCAAAAAGAAUGUGCCAUAUUAAGGAAAUAGUAUAUUCAGAUAGACAACUGAGCUAUUGAACAGCAUCAGAAGUAUCAAUAACAAUUGUGCCUUUAAAUUCUGAAAUUUUUUUUUGAAAUGUAGCAACAUAACAAAUACAAUGUUUUCUUUGUUCUCCGUCAAGACCAACAAGUUAGCCAUAAUAGAAAAAAGCAAAAAGCCAGAUAGGAGGAUCGAGGCCCUAUUUGCCGUUGAAAGGAGGCGAUGACAAACAGCAAAAGGACCUAUAAAUGUUCUAUUAUAUACAAAUAGGAUGCCUUACAGCAGAGGAAGUCACUAAAUCAUAGUGUUUGAAUAUGAUAAAUGCUCAAACUCUAAGAAAAAUGAUUUGAUCACCUACCAAUAAGUUAACAGCUCAAUGGCAAAGCAAGUGAUCCAAAUAAUUACAACAAUAUAUAAACUACUCCGAACCAAAAAUUAAUAGAGCAGUCCAUGUUAUAUACAUUGCAAAGACCAAUUUGUUAAUCUCAAAGAUCCAGUCAUAAUGAUCCUAACAUAAACGGAACAACAUAAUAUGUGCAUAAAAAGUAAUAUUGUUUUUACCUCAAGAAUCCACCCAAUGUAUCUAACAUUGUUGACAUGCUGGUUUAGAUCAAGAUCGGACCAUCGAGGCUGCAUUAUGUUGCAUACCAACAAGCAUAAACUACAUAAGUAACAAACACUACCAACCAUAACAUAGGACACCAACUUAUGGCAUGUACAAUACUUACAGUCAAACCCCUUCGGACGUAUUUUCUAGCCCUAGCUUCACCAUUCCCUGGCAAUUUUGGAAGUUUGCGGCUGUCUUCAUCAGCAAUAGCGGUGAGCUCAAAAAAAUAUGGUGCUAUUUCAGUCCUCACUUCAUCAGGAAUCCUUGCGAGUUUUCUAGUAUGCUUAUGCAUCAUAACCCAUUUACUGUUCAGCAAAGAGUGAGGAAAAAAUAUCAGCGAAAUGCAAAUGGCCAAACAACAAAAUGCUAACAGGUUAUGGAUCUUUACAGUAAGAACAAAAAUGAAUGCACAAAACAACAGCAAUAUGACAGAUCAUGUAUAAAACCUUGUAGCCCUCAAUAUAGUCUGCCCUGUGCUGCGAUCAUGUAAAUGCCAAUCUCGACGCAUUCCGUUUUUACCAUGACCACUGACCCAUGUAUCUAUACCAACUGUAUCUCCCCUGAAUAAAAAAUAAAUAAAAACAUUUAAUUCAAAAAAUAACAGAGCCUUAAAUUACCCAAAUGCAUCUAGGUUAAUGAAGUACAUGGUGAAACAGAUGAGUCGUAACAUAUAUAUCAACUUUCAAAAUUCUUAGGCUCCAAGCUGACUUUUCAAUUAAAACAGAUAUCAACCACCUACUUGAAAUAUCACUGUCACAAUUAUCAUCAACGACUUUCAGGCCCCCGAUUUCUCACAGGAAUACGUCACACCCAGAUUCCCACCUAACAUCAUUACCACACUUCCAAUCAAACAUUCUGAAGCCACUGAACAGAUCUCUAACUUAGGCGGGCGGGAGGUGCUCCUACCUAUCAGAGCACAGCAAGCUCGCAACAAAGCAAGAAACCACAAUUGACCCCCCCUACCUGGCUAGCUUGAUAAGUUCACAUUAUUAGCAUAACUUCAUUAAAAGAAUGCUAACACUCAAACACAAAAACUAGAGCCAAUUCAGCCUGAGGACUCAAAUAACCAAAAUAUUUUGCAGUCUGUACCAGCAUGGAUACUUCUCCACCAAGACCUGCAUCUGACUGACAACCCAGAACAAGUUCCGUUUGCUCAUCUCUGGUGUCGAACCAAAGCCAUCACCAAGCAGCCCGGCACUCUUGACAUGAUUAAGGGCCGUCUCCUAAACGCAGAAACAUGAUUAAAAAAACAAUAUUAGCAUCCGCAAUGAGCACCUUACAAGUUACAACACAAUCAGACGCGCGCUAUUGCCUCACAUGACUCACCUGCAAAUGAUUCAUCAGCGUCUCUAUGGAUGCCGUCCUGUCGGCCCCAAUCUCAUAGGAUCGGAUGGAGAAGUCCUGCCGGAACACCUGCCCGUUGAAGCCGAACGUGUCGAUGAGCAUGUCGGGCCGCUUGGGCUUCCAGUCCACCAGCGUCCACUGCCGCUCGGCUGCCAGGAAGAUGGUCGUGAUGGCCGCAAGCAGCACGCUCCAGUCCGGCAGCUGGUUGUAGAACGUCCUCGGAGCCGGAGCCGGAGCCGAGGAGCGGGACGCAUCGUCCUCACCGUCAGUCACCGCAGCCUUCCCGCCGCUGUUCACCUUGGGGACGGCGGCGUGCGCGCGCGCCCUUGCUGAGGAGGACCUCACCGCGCCCACGUUUGCGGCGACCCCACCCAUGUCCAGGUUGUCCUUGGACCUGCCCGGUGCGUUCUUGGGCGCCGAAGCCGGCACCGGGAAGAACGCCGACGAGGCGACAGAGGCGGCCAUGAGAGUUUACGGAUGGAUACAGUCGCACAGCUCCGCGCCCGGCCGAUCAAAUCGAAGUACUGCUCGGAGAACUCGAACUGGAUUUCAUCAGAGGAAAAGGACCUUAGAUUUCCGGAAAAAAAAAUAACAAUAUUAAUCGAUUGCAGAGGGGGGAGAAUUCUUUGAACAGAAACUUCCCAGAAUCCUGGAAUAGGAAUAUGGAGAAAAAACCACUGGUCCACCGCUGCUAGCCUGCUACCGAUUUGUCAAAGCAAACUCUUGGAAUAACGCAAGUGGGGGGAAAAACAGCAUGCUGGUAAACCUCAGUCAUACUGAUCGAAGAAGCAAGACUUUCAGCUAGCAGAUAUUUCUUUCCAACAAACCAAUUAAAAUCGUCGCGGGUUUUUUUUUUUUUGGCCCUUGCUAACCAAGAAUCCAGCCCAAAAGGGAACGUUUACAUAUCCGGGAAAAGAUCCGGUAGAGUAGAGGGUUACUGCGCUGGAGAAGGGGCCGCAGAGACGAACCUCACGAUCGAGUUUAGGGCGUUAGGGGGUCGCCGGGGCGCUCCCUCCUCCCAGUGGUGGCGCCGCCGCCAUUGGCCACGGUGAUCGCUGCGUCGGGGUCGCGAGAGCUUGGGGGACGCACGCGGUGGGCCGCUUCGAAGUGGCUGGCCUGCUCUUGGAGGUGGCCGCGGCCUUUAUAAAAGGUUAGAUUCGGCUCGCUGCCAAUUGACGCUUGUACCCUCAAUGGGCAAAGGUGGGACUCCGGAGUCAAGAGUCAAGUCAGAGGGAGAAUCUGGGGAUGGAGAGGGUGAGCUGUGUCGUGUUGCACGCUUUGAGCUGCACUGACAACAAGGCCUUAUUUAGUUCAAAAUAUUUUAUAAAUUUUUUCGGAUUUUUCGUCGCAUCAAAUCUUGCGGCACAUGUAUAAAAUACUAAAUAUAGAUAAAAGAAAUAAUUAAUUACAUAAUUUAUCUGUAAUUUACGAGACGAAUCUUUUAAGUCUAGUUACUCUAUAAUUAAACAAUACUAGUAAAUAUGCCCGUGCGUUGCAACGGGAGAAAAAUAUUAAAUGGUCAUAGAAAAUGAUGACAUAAUAUUACAUAUCUAUUUAUAUUUAUAUUUUUUUAUAAAAUUUAAAGUUCGUAAUUUAUUUUAUUGAUAACCAUGACAUCUAUGGUAUUGAUAGUUAAUAUUUAUAAUAAUAUAUAGCUUGUAGACAUAUUUAUUUAAUAAUAAUAAUAAUAGAAAUUAGUCAAAUCUUAUGUUACUCUAUAUUAUCUCUUAAUAUACCUUAGUAUUAUAUUCAAACACGAUAAGUUUGUUGAUAACUUUUUUUAUUUAGGUUAAGAUUCCUAUGAAAUAUGAUAUAUCAGUUAAAUAUAUGUAGAUUAUGAAUAUAUGAGCUUAUGAAGUGUUCAGAUGACAUAACAACACAUCGUGCAAAGGUAGUGUAAGCAUCCUCACGCAUAAAUUUAGAUAAAAUAGUAAAUUAGUGAGAUAUGUAGGAAUGAUGCUAAAACUUUUACCACAAAUCAAGCAUCACAUUAAAUAGACUACCAUAAAUUUUUUAUAAUAAUUAGAGCAAGAUAACUACAAUUUCAAUUUUAUACUAAAAAGCAUGGGCAAGCAUCUUCAGCAAAAAAAUAAAUAUACUAAAAUUUGGGAUAUUUUUUGUUUAGUGCAUGGAUCUACUAUGAUUUACUACGCAUUUAUCAAUUUUCAGCCGAUCAAUUUUACAGUAAAAAGCAUAGACAAGCAUCUCUAGCAAAGAAAAUAUAAUAAAAUUUGUGAUAUUUUUUGUUUACUGUAUGGAUCUACAUUAUGUGGAGCUGAACAAAAUUUAUUUUGUAAUUUUUAGAUUUAUCUAUGAAUUACUAUGUAUUUAUCAAUCAAUUUAAAUAAUAAAAGAAAAGUAAACUAAUAGGAUAAACACUUUGCAUCUAAGCCCUUAUAAUUUUUUUAUUCUCAAUGUGCUGUAAUGUAUAAAAGAGAUUUUGUAUUGAGAACCUUAGAAAAACUUUUAUUCUGUUCUUUCUCCAUGUCAACGUUGAAGCCUUCGUACGGAAGCGGGCCGACUCGGGUUUGAGGACAGAAAUUUUUUUUUCGGAUGGAAGCGUGGGCGGACUCGGGUUUGACGGCAGAAAAUUUUUAGGCAAACUGAAAUUUUCACAAUUUAGUAGUAGGGAUUUAUUAAAUACAAACAAAAGUACCACAGUGUAUGUUUUGCAAAAAAAAUUUAGAACCAAACAAGGCCCAAAGGACAUCUCCGCGGUCCAAAUCUUCUCAGGACUGGGCCUUGUUUAGUUCUAAGUUUUUUUAAAGAUAAAUUUUGUUUAUAUUUAAUAAAUAUUUUUUUAAUUAUAGAUUAACUAGCUUUAAAAGACUCGUCUUGUAAGUUAUAGACAAAUUAUAUAAUUAAUAUUAUUUUAAAUUAUAUGUAUACAUGUGUCGGAAAAUCUGUUUUUUUUUUUUUUUUUGCAACAAGGCCUAGCAGCCGCUCGAUGCAAGGAAUGCGAGUCUGUGAGCAUCGGCUCGGGGCCGCAUCCAAUUCCUUGGGACACCUCAAUCCAUGCUACCGUGUUGUCCAAAAAAAAUCCAAUUAUAAUUUCAAAUAAAAGGAAUAAAAAAAUAUUUAUAUUCUUUGACAUCAUAUAAGGGUGUGUUUAGAUCCAAAUUUUUUUUUAGAUUUGGACACUGUAACAUUUUCGUUUGUAUUUAGCAAAAUAUUUCAUAGUGUAUCUAAUAGUAGUAUUUAUUUAUUUUCGCAAAUAAAUAUACUACAAAUUUUACAUCAUAAAUAUUUAUGUUUUUCUACAAAAUUAGUUAAAUUUAUGAAAGUUUAACUUAGGGCAGUUUUAUGAAUUGAUUUAUGUAAAAACAUACUACAUAGUAGCAGUACUACUCCGUAUGCUAGCGGCAAAGAAACCAAGCAUAUCGUAAGAGCAUCUCCAACAGUUAUACAAUUGGACUAUACAUUCUAGAAAUUUAUCAAAAACCUUAAAAAUUGCUCUCCAACAGUUAUGCAUUUGACUUAUGCAUUUUGGCAAACUUGGCAUUUGAUGGACCAAACUUGGUAUUUUUGCAUAAGCACAAUGGCUUGGCAAUUUUGAUAUCCCGAGUUUCCUAGACUCCUUGUCGUGCGUGACCUCCCCACACGUUGCGGUAGUUUCCCGCGAGGACUCCUCCUCCCCGCGCGAACUCUUCUUUCCCCGCGCCGCUGCCUCCUUUCUUUCCCCGCGCGCACCUAGGAGAUACGAUCCAUCGCUGCGCAACUAGGCCGCGAUUCACAGAAAUGGUGGUGACUUGCGACUUCGUGGACUAGCGGCGACGGGCGACAGAAAUUCCCGCGCAGAGAAAAAAUCUCGCGCGAAGCGCGCCAAACAAAAAAAAAGAUCCCUAACAAAAAUAGUUGGGUCCACUAUUUUGGGAAAUGCCAAGUCAAAAAUGCCAAACACUUGGAGAUGGACUUAUUUUUCUUUUGGCAAAACGUUUAGAGACUUGACAAAUUCCAACAAAUGGCAAAUUCUAAUUGCAUAACUGUUGGAGAUGCUCUAAUACACAGUUCUUCCCCUUCCCUUUUUUGAGCAUGUAUAUACACCUGAACGUUUUGCCGAAUUCAUCAUACGUAUGUGAAAAAAUCAAGCUCUAUUGGGUUGUGACGCCUAAACUUUUUUAUUAUAGCAUUAUUAUUUUUUAAAAAACAUGUAUCAAAGAAAUCACAUGUCUAAUACCUAUAAAGUUUUUUAAAGAGCUUUUCUAGUACAGUCUUUUUCGACUCUAAUUCCUGGAGGAUCUCUCUUUAAAAACUAUGCCUUUUUUAGAAGAGAAAUCCUCGGGACCUAAUAUGAAUAGAUUGUCCAAGUUUUAGGAUCGCCACAUACACUCAAGUUUCAAAAUUCAGUGCUUCUCAACGGAGAUUUUAGGCUUUACCUUUUCUUUUUCUACAUUGUCAUGAGAUGGAGGUAAACAUCGAUAAUAAAUGCAUAUAAAUGCACACUCUGAGGAAGUAUAACUAGGUCUGAGCAAAAUACCUGAAUACCUGUUACAUGUGUCCGAAUUAUCCGAUCCUAAAUACAGAUAAUGGUUUUGAUUACUCAAAAUUAGUUUGGGUAAUUUGGACAAUAUCUCCUGGUAUCCAAACUAUCUAAACUAUCCAAAGAUUUGUUUAUGUCUUUGUAUUUAUCAUGUUGUUGUUAGUUGAACACUUGAACUUAUCACUUUAUUAGAAUAUAAUUCUUUGUAAUAUAUUGCUAUCUAUAAUUUUGUAUUGAAAUUCUAUAUAAAUCGCUGCUAAAAUUAUGUUUAAACUACUAUUGAUUCUGUGUGUAGUUUAUUGUUUUAUGUAAAAUAGGAUACUCGAACACGGAUUACGUAGGUAGUGUUUUUUCAGGGAUUUUGUUGAGUAGUAGUUUUUAUUACCUAAAUUUCGAACUACCCGAUUAUCUGAACCGAAAAAGCCAGGCAACCCAAGAACAAGGAUGCAUGAGAAAUGGGAGAAGAGUAGCAUGGAUUCAUGGAAGUCCUCUUUUGUUUCUAGGAAAAUUCAUGGAAGUCUUUAAUCACCACUUAGGCAUGUAGCCCAAAAGGCCGCACAGUGAAGGCCCAUCAUAAGGCCCCCCAAAAAAGGAUAAACCGCCUGGCUGCUUCAGAGAUCGUGCCGCUGUUUUGCGCCCAGCAGGCAGCAGGACGCCCCGGAUAGACAGACCUGCACCUGCUCUCGCCCGUCUCAUCCACUCACAAGCAAAUGGAAACCAAAAAAUAAAAUCAACGAGACCUGCUCGCAUCGCUAACCCUAAACCCCCAAAUCGCCCACCUCCCGAUCCCCAUCGGCGCCGCCGCCGCCGCCGCCGCGGGGCUUACCGGCUGGUGCCGCCGAGCGCUGGGCUCGCCGCGGGCAGCCGCCACCGGCCCACCCCACGGCUUCCCUCGAGGUACGGUGAAAGCCUAUCCUACCAAACAAUUCCGGUUUGCGCACGAUCAAUCGGUGCUCGCAGGUUCUGUUGCGUGUAUGCCUCUGUGUCGCGGUUGGAUGAGUAGAGCGGGGGGAAAUUUUCGUUGGAUGAGCGUUCGGGAUUGGGCUCGGGGAGUUUUUGGGGGAGAUUUCGCCUUGGGUUCCCAUGUCUCGUGAAAAUUCGUCUUCGGCGCGUGUCUAUGUUCCGUGCUAGAGUGAUGUGAGGACACCCCUUUUGCAACCUGGCGCGCGGCGCUCAAGUUAUGCGGUGGUUUUGAGCUCGUGAUGUUGAGCAGGUGCUCUUUGUUGAUGCUUUCGGCUAUUUACUGAAAUAUUCUGGGUCGUUCGUGGACUGGGAGCUUAGAUUCAGCGUUUUUGCUAUGCUGGGGAUGUUCUAGAUGCAAUUUUGUUACUGUGUUAAUCUGUAGAUAGAUCGAUCCAUGUUAUCUUCUAUGCCAUGUUGCCAGAGGAAACUAACAUAGUCACAUUUCUUUACCGCUAGCUAUCAGAAAUUCAGAACAUCCAGUAUCCUUCCUUUAUUCAGUUUAGGUCGAAAGUACUGCAUGAUGCUUACAGUACAUGCUGCGAUCUUAGCACAAUAGCUCUCUAAGUGAUGGAAUAGUUUUACCAUUAAACAGACUGCAUUGCUUGUGUUUGUCUUUUAGUAUGCGAUGCUUCACUGUAUCGCCUUCUGUGGUUAACACUAUAUGCCAUGUUUUGUCAUAGAAGAGUGCUUUAGAUUUCCUAGUUAGGGGCCUUUUGACAAGGAUCUAGUUAAAAGUCUUAAAUAAUUUGACCUAUGCACUUCAGACAGUUGUGAUGCAAAUACUCGGUGUUUACUCUCUCUCUCUCUCGUUUCAUGAAUCUAAUAUGCUUCCACUUAUUUGACUCAUUUUCAGAUAUCUGCAUUUGAAGUUGAGGUAAAUAACACUGCUAUUUGUGACAAGAAUUUUGGGAAGUUACUGGCAUAAUGGAGUUUUCAAAGCAAGGGCAGGCACCCGUGCCAAACAACAUUGGGUCACAACCGUUACCCUCUUCAAAUGUCCAAUCUAAUCAAACAGAGCAUCCAUCUUUGUUUUUUCCAUCAUCAUUGCCUGGUGACUGGAGUUCACAGCAGAUGUUCUCUAUGGGAACGUCAGUACCAGUUAGCUCAUAUUAUAUUGUCCCCAUGAGUCAGCAAUCAGUCCAACUAGGUGCUUCCAGGCCAGAGGUUUCACGUCCUUUGGGGGCACAACCUUUGCUAAGUAGGGUAUCAUUGAGGCCACCCCAGCAGGUGCUGAGUAUUCAAACAUCUUUGCCAGCAAUGGCUGGAACACAACCCUCACCAUCUAUGGCAGGCAGGAAAUCACAACAGACAAUUGCUUCUCCAAAGGUUCAAAUGCUGAAAUCUCCAUCGUUCCAGUCAUCUAAUAAGCGGUCUGCACAGAAGGAGCCACCGUCAAAGGUUCAACAAUUUGAAUCUGUGAGGUCCAAGUUCAGGGAGUCACUUGUUGCUGCGCUGAGUUUGGAUUCAGAUCAGCAGAAUAAGAGUCAGUCUCCUAAUAAUGUGCAUUCUGAUGAAUCUACAGAUAAUUUCAAACCAGCAGCAGGAGAUGUGGUACAGGAUUUAGUGGCAACCACAUCAAAAGAUGUAGCCAAUUCAGGUAUAGCCACAACUGUAGCUCCCAGUAAAUGCGAGGAAAGUGAGAAGUUAAGCAGUGAUUUAGCUCCAGAGAUGAUCACGAGCAUAAAUGAUGACAUGCAGCAACAGUCAAAUCAGGUUUCUUCAGAAGAUGACUUAUUGGGUCAGUGUAUGGUUGCAGAUGAACUUUUGCAAGGUCAUGGGCUUAGUUGGGUUUCUGAUCUUGAUGUUGGGAUCUCUGAACCUAACGCAGAACCUAAUGAUUUAAAAAGGCCGCGAACUUCUGAUGUGGAGUCUGAGUCAAAAAGAAUAAAGUCUGCCAAUGAGUUAGCAAUGGAUACGGAGAAAUUUAAUCAAAGGGCUGAAAGUUUGGCGUUUAGAAUUGAAGAGGAGCUGUUCAAAUUGUUUGGUGGAGUAAAUAAGAAGUACAAGGAAAAGGGCAGAUCUCUUUUGUUUAAUUUGAAAGACAAAAGCAACCCUGAGCUAAGAGAGAGGGUCUUGUCUGGAGAUAUUGCGCCUGAACGCCUUUGUUCAAUGACUGCAGAAGAACUUGCCUCCAAAGAACUCUCAGAGUGGCGGCUGGCUAAAGCUGAGGAGUUCGCACAGAUGGUUGUCCUUCCGAGUAAGGAGGUUGAUCCUAGGCGCUUGGUUAGAAAAACUCACAAAGGAGAGUUCCAAGUUGAAUUCGAAGAACCAGAUGGUUUCUCAGUGGAGGUUGAACUUGGGAGUAAUCUUACUAAUAUUCCUUCAAAAGCUGUUGAAGAUCAGACCAAGUCUAAUGGAACAGAUCGUAAAGAAGAUGUUCAAGAAAAAGACAAAGCAUCUGAUAGCACUUCACAAGAUGAGGAUGGCAGAACAUGCAACAAUGAUAUGCCAGGUGAUGUAGAAUAUAUUGAUAAUGAGAAAGCUGAUCUCAUGCAGGAACUUAUUUUGGAUGACAUGAAGGACACCGUAAAUCUCCCACCUAUUCCUUCGUUAGAUGAAUUCAUGCAGGGCCUAGAUUCUGAGCCACCUUUUGUUGAUCUCUCAGUUGAGACUCCUCAAGAAGAUGUCAAUGACUCUGAGGAACCUGACACCACCAUGGAGCCUGAGGAUCUUCCAGAGACAGAAGAUAAUGCAUCUGCACCAGAGAAAACUGAAUCUGAAUCUGAUAAGUCAUCUGCACAGGUUAACAGUGAGCCCAAGUUAGAGUCACCAGUACAUACAGCAGUUCCAAAUUCGGAUCUUACUGAACCACGUGAUGGAGAGCUGAACAAAUCCUCCCCCUCCCCUGGCAAAGGUGAAGCCAAGCAAACAACUACUGAUAAUGUCUCUAAUCCUGAUUCUGUUCACAGUCAGGCUGCCAUACUCCCUAUGAUACGUGAGAGCAUAUGGGAAGGUGCAAUUCAACUAACAGUGUCUUCACUCUCUAAUGUUGUUGCUAUUUUCAAAAGGUAUGUGUCCAUCUUAGCGUUUUAUUUUUUAUGACUAUUGUUAUUUGUACGUAAUGUUGAUCUAACCCAUUCUCCUUUGCAUUUCAUAUUUUCUGCACUUUCAAAUCAAAUUGAUGUUCUGCUAUUCGUCUUGACAUUCCUGUGGCCAUAUUAAGGCCAUUAUUAGGUCAUUAUUAAGUUUAGAAUAGAUCUUAUGAGUAACAUCUCGUAUUUAGGAAAAAAGAACUUGUACACAAAUGCUCAUGUCAUGGUCCUUCUGUUUAAAGUUAUGCAAAUGCACCACUUUAUAAAUGGAAGUUAAGCUACAUUUUUGUAGUGCAACCAACCGAAAUGGAGUUUUACAUUUCAGCAGCUAAGGGUCACUCAUAAUGUCAAUAACUCUUUAACAUGUUAUUUGCUUUGACUUGCUGCAUUCUUUUGUUUAUGUGCCCCUAGACAUUCUACUUUGGGCUAUUUUUCUACAUAGGCUUGCGUGAACUUGUUAUAUAUGCCGGUCUGUGCUAAUUCUAGUAGAGGGUUAUACUGUUUCCACAUUCUCCCAACCAAUUGAUACACCCAAUAUUGGUAUACUAACUCUUUUGAAGAAAAGUAAGUGCGCAAAUAUUUUAAUUUAAUAAAUUAUUAUCAUUGUGCUCACCCUAGUAGUAGUUUUAUAUGCAAUGGAUAUGUAAACUGGUUUUAAGUUAAAGAUCAAUGCAGGUUGUGUUGUUUUGUUGUGCUAAAUAUUUGUUACUUUGUAUAUGGUUUUUGUACUAUCAGUGUGAAUAUUAAUUGCCUGCAAACUAUUGAGUGCAUGUAUAAAUGGCUGAAUGUAUUUGUUCUAUUUGGACAGCGGCUAACAUGUCUUAAAAUUUGAACUUUUCAGUGGUGAAAAGCCAUCAUUAAAAGAUUGGCGUCGUUUUGUUGAGAUUAAGGGAAGAGUUAAACUUAGUGCUUUUCAAGAUUUUGUCGAGCAGCUUCCCAAAUCUAGAAGCCGUGCUAUAAUGGUAAUUCUUUUUUCCUUACUGUAGUCUGUUUAUGUAUUCCCUUUGUGACAGGUUUAAUAUGCUGAGUCUGGUGAAAAUAUCUUAUCUUUGUGUCUAAUUACCUCGUGGAUAUUGUUGCCAUGCUGCGAAGUAGUAUAUACAAUUUUAUAUAUUCUGAUUUGGAGCCGCAAGCGCUUAUUUGAUAUUUGAGAUUGCACAAUGGUUGAACUUAGCUAAGUGGGAUAAUCAUGUGCUAAAAACAAAACCACAUCAUUGCAUGUCAGGUUUGUGUUAGCACCUAUAUGCAAGUCGCACAAUGUGUACCCUGUUUGAACUUUCGAAUCCUGUAGGAAUUGUAAGCGAUUGCCAGGACCUUAAUACGUGGGCCCUACAUCAUGUUAUGUAAUGUCAUUUGGCUUUGUUAGCCAGAAUAUUCAUGGAGUUCUAGAAGAUGUGAAUAGUUAUUUCAGAUUAUCGUUCAUCCUGGAGUCAGUUUAAGUGUUGUGUUUUACAAUAUGUCUGGGAACUCUGCCUUAGGUUAGCUGUUGGCAUCUAUUUCAUCAAUUUAACUACCUGGUAACUAUUUUGAUAGAUAACUGAGCUGUGUUGGAAGGAGGGUUCAUCGGAGAGUGGCCGCCAACAUAUCUUGCAGGUUACAUUCUACCUUUUGCCACUCACCGCUGUUGGAGCAAU